RNAcentral lists this long non-coding RNA (47826 nucleotides) under Sorghum bicolor (sorghum). Its description in RNAcentral is "long non-coding RNA (SBIC_LNC016316)". The stretch from base 42284 to 42390 matches the Rfam family "Plant small nucleolar RNA R71". Lineage: Eukaryota; Viridiplantae; Streptophyta; Magnoliopsida; Poales; Poaceae. The record is from RNAcentral.
GGGGUCUGCUUAUAUAGUCCCCUUAGGUGAACGUGGGCCGUUAGAUCAAACUGACAUUGAUUGCACGGUUAUUCUUGAUCCUUUAUGUCGGUGGAGCAUAAUCCGUGAGAUUGAACGUGAUUGGCCACAACACCUGGGCGGGCGCCCUGCCCCCGGGCCCGGUCGGCCUCCCGUUCGUUUCUGUGGCUUCUGGACUCUUCUAGAUGAUAGAAAAUUGCGCGGCACGUUAAUAUCUCUAUGUAAACCCGACAUGUGGGCCUUCCUCUAUAUUUCCUGAUAUCCCCCUGCAGAAAUAGACAAACACCAAAACUUGUGGAAUUCUAUCAGAUAAAACCCUAAGUUUGGGUGUUGGUUGCAUUUGGAUCCUUUUCUUUAUUUAUUGGAUGAUUAUAUUUGGUACUUAAGGACCAUCAACAACUCCCCCAAGCGUACCUCUUGCUCGUCCCUGAGCAAGGAUGGACUCAAGAGUUUCAGCAGUGGUUUCAUGCCUUAAAAGUACACACGCGUUCAAGCAAGAUCUCAUCUCUGAGUUAGAGUAAACUGUUAAGACUUAAAACUUACUCAUUUUACCUUUCACCAUGGGGCUUGCAACUGUCACUUGUGUCUUGAGCAGUUAAAAGAUAGAACAGUCUAGUCAAGUGCUAUGUCUCUUGUUCUUUGAUCAGCUAUAGCUCUGGAGUUUUUGAGGAUUUUCAAAUAAAACUCGGAGAUUCCUUGUAUGACUCUCUAAUCUAUCUUUUGUGGUAUUUCUGGAUCCUUUCCAAGGCAGUAAUGGUAUAUGCCUUCUCUCAAAGUAUGUGGUAUUUUUGGUAUGAGGCAUAGUGAUAUUGCCUUCUCUCUCACCCUACUCUAAUAAGGUUUUGAUAUUUGGAGCUCAUAGGUGGGAGACAGAUAAUACAUACUUACAAGACAUUUAUUGCAUAGUCAAAACAUGGAUCCAGAGAAACAAGUCAAUAAGUCAAAUCAAGAUGUGCAUGUGUGGCGAGUGAAUGGUGUAUGGUGAUAAGAAUGGUGAAAGUCUAAUUCUACUUUUGCUCUUUUGAGGGGAUACAUACCUUUCUUGCACUUUGAAGCUGUUUGAGGAGAAUGAGAUGCUCUAUAUUUUCUUUUUCUUUUCUCUCAGGUGGGUAUCUUGUACCCCUAAUUCUACUGUCGGACACUUGUCCAUUUUUACCUCUCGUCUCACUUUUUCUUUUCUUCGAGGUUCCGGGCACUUGCCCCUUUUUAUUUCCUCGUAUUCUUUCUCUCUCUUUUUUUUCUUUUCUCUUUUUUUACUAGAGCACUCAUCUCCUGAAAUAAUAUAGCAAGUGGUAGUAACCAAGAUAACUCGAGCAUUUAUUUCGUAGGGAAAACAGAAAUAGGAGAAUGUUUUUGGCUAUUCUCUCCCGGAUUAGGAGUAGAAUACUUUUGGGUGGCUCUGGAGAUGGAAAUGAGUGGAUAUAUGUGGAUGCAUACUUCCGGAGUAAAAGUAGCAUGUAUGAGUGAACGUGCAAGUGAAUCUUGAUUUUAACCGCCUGACAAGCUCCUAAGGGUCUACACAGCUUGACCACACUCAAUGCUCAUAAGCAGUAAAAAGUAAAUGUGUGGCUCAGAGUCUAGCAAGCAUGUAUAUAUGGCUGUGGUAGGAAUUUAAACUAUCAUCAUACAGGAACUCAUCAUGUGUUAUUUUAAAGAUUUUCAAAGAUAAAAUUCUCCAGAAUUCUAGCAUCUCUAGGAACAGAUAAACAGUAGCUCAACCUUCCCGUAUCGUAUCCGUUAACGACUUAGACUUUUGAUCAAGUAUUCUUCCCACAAGUUCAGGUUUAGAGCAAAUCUUAAUUCAUAACAGUCAUGCCUAAACUCGAGAGAGAUUUCAAUUUUGAGAACUAGUCAUGGCAGAGUAGCUAUUCAUCAUUUCCAUGUGAAAGCUUAUCAUGAGAGUUCAUAGCAAACUUUAUUUAUUUAUUUAUUUAGCAAACAACACAAAAUCUUUAUUUGGGUUUUUAUGAUUAUGCAUCUUUUUAUUAUUUGAGUAAAGUAUAAACAUGAGUAGAACACUUAGCUAGAUAAAUGGGGGUGCUCUCCCCCAAGCUGGAUUUUGACGUAAUUUCUUCUGACGUAAUUUCUUCCUCCUAAUAAAUGCUACUCUCUUUAGUAGGAUCAUAAAUUUAUUUUUUUUUAUUUUUAUAGGAUAGGAAUAUAUUUAUUUUAUUUUUAUGCCACCACAGUGAAUGUACUUAUGGGUUUUAUGCCAUGAGCAUACUCACAUGGGGCUUACUAUUUUUAACAUUUUUAUUUUCUUUUCGAGAUGAUAUUAACCUGAUUAACUAAGCAAACAAUUUUAAAUAAUUGAAGGGAAAAGGAUAACUACCAAGUUUACCUCUUGGCAAGGCGUUCAGUGUUUUUAAGUCCUCCAAACGGGACUCUCCGUUUUCUCAGUCGUCCUGGGAUUUGCUGGAUGGCGUAGUCGGUGGUUCCGGCGGCACCUCCUCUUUGUGUAUAACUAUCUUUUCUCUCCACACCUGACUCGGUGCUACGGUCUCCUCUGGGCAAUCCUGUUCAAGAUGUAUAUCUUUGGACCUUAUUACAUCUCCUUUGUAGUCUGCCCAUCCGUCCUUGAUGAUUUGCCUCCUCUAGUUUCGGUUGCGUCGCCUUCUUCUUAGAGGGGAAGUGCAUGUGGACUUCUUCGGUUCCAAUAUAGAUGAUGGCUUUGAUAGUGUUGAGGAACGGUCUUCCAAGGAUGAUGGGUGGAUCGUACUCGUCUUCUCCCAUGCCAAUGACCUGAAAAUCAUUUGGAGCUGAAUGUAUGUUGGUUGUAGGGGCAUGGUUCCAUGCAGGAGUUGAUAAGUGACUACGGCCAUUAUAUUAACGUCAGAUCCGGUGUCGUAGAGUGGCUUCUGAAAAGAGUAUCCGUUGAUUGUGCACUCGAUGCUUGGAACACCAGGGUCGUCCUUCUUGAUCAAGAAAGGCGACUUGAGUCGACGAUAUUGACCUUCUUGAGCUGCAGUGACCAUCUUAGCUAACUCAGUCCACAUUUACUUGUUCCUGUUCCUCCUGUUGGUCCUCUCCCUUUGUUCAUGUCGGGAUUGCUCUGAAAUUUGUGUAGUCUUAUUCUUGAAGGAAAGUCUCCUUCUUCCCCUUGAUGUAGAAACUAAUCUUGGCAGCACUAGCGUAGAUGACAACUCUCGAGGUGUUCAGGAAUGGCCUCCCUAGGAUGAUCGGUGCCCUCUCUUUAGUACCAGUCUCUAUCACCAUGAAGUCUGCUGGAGCAUACAAGGUACCAACUCGGACGCAAAGGUUCUUCAAUAUUUCCUUUGGGAAACUGAGUGUCCGAUCUGCAAGCUGAGUAGUUAGGCCUCUAUUGAUUUCAACCCUGAUUUUGUUGAGGACGGUUGUAGUAGUAGUAGUUGUUGUUGAUGUAAUUUACGUCCUCAAGCAUCUCAGGGCAGUGAUUGCCUGAGUGUCCAGUAUCUCCAGUGUGUUUGUGCUCGUAGAUCUAGGUCCUUCACUUGGAAGAAUCUGGGAGUUGUAAAACUCCUUUAGGUUUUGCUCGAAGUCUACCUGCUCAUAAAGACAAGGCAGAGAUCAAGUGCAUGGGCCAUGUUGGUGAAAAACACCAACAGAACCAAAAGUGUAUUUGUUCUUCUCUAACCUUAAGCAUAGAGAGCAAGACAAAGUUGAUGGAUAAUAAGAUCAUGAGUGUAGCAUUUGAAACAUUUGUUAGAUCAGAUGGCUCAACCUAAUGGAAAGAUAAUCUAUCUCUAUUUAUGUUUUGUUUAUAUCUUCCAAAGAUUGAAUGUGCACAUUUUAGCUUAUAUGGUUAGGAGUGUGGGAUCACGAAUGUAGUACUAAGAACAAAGAUUAAAGGACUAAACAUGUUGAAUUAAUUGGGUUGGUUAAUUUGGAGUUACAAAUCAUACAUGUUUGUCUCUUUUAUUCAUGUGAAUGCCAGAACCAAGGAGAAGCUUAUAAAAGUGAUAGUCAAGUACCUUAAGAUGUUACCUUACUUGAAGAGUGAUGGUACAGUAUCACCUUGUGGAAGCUUUCCUUUCUUAGCGGUUGUGCAUCGUGUUUGUGGCACCUUCCAUGCAUCAUCUCUUAUGAGCUAUGUCUUCCUUGUGUAAAUUGUUAAACUUCAAGUGUCUCUCUCUUUGUCUCCAAUAUGAGUUUAUCUUAGGACUUCCCAGGUCAAUAUUGAAAGUUUUCCUGCAGGGGUUAGUCCAACAAAAUAUCCCCUAUCUACUAUAGAAUACUAUCGGCUCAAAAAUCAACCUAGACACCAUGUCUAAUUUGAUUUAGGAGGGUGUUUUAACCUAAGCACCAUGCUUAAUUUAAAAACCCUUGGAAGUAAGAUCAUCAUUCCUAAACUAAGCACCAUGCUUAAUUAAGAGAUAAAUGAAACUACUCCAAACCUCGACAUAUACUAAAGCAAAUAAAGGUAGCAUGAGAGCAUUAUUAGAGAUCUACUCAAGUGGAGAUGAAGUAGUGUGAUUAGUAUUUAACAAAUUGAGCAUGUCUCAAAGGUAGGCACAACCAACAUAGCAACAUGGCAAAGGAUUUUUUUAUGUAAAGUACUCCCCCAAGCUUGAAUUUUGCAAGAUUCAAGUUUGGAUGAAUUUAAUUCAAAGUUGUAUGAUGGUUGGUUGAACAUAUGUAUGGUCCAAAUGGCUGGAGGGGGGUGAAUAGCCUAUUUAAAAUUUCUACAAACUUCACUAAGCAAGAGAGUUAGUGAAACAAAUGGCGAAGCAAUUCUAGCACUAGCUCAACUAAGCUAUGCAAGCCACCUAUACAAACUAGUACAAGGCUAAACACUAAAGCACAACAACAAGAGAAGGUUAGCUACACUCCUAAACAAGAAGAUACAACUAAACAAGGUAAACAAGUAAGUAAAGGAGUGGAGAGUGAUUGUUAUACCAACGUUGUAGAGUAGAGAUAUAUCCAACCAAUCACUCACAAUCACAAUCACAAUAGAUGAACCUUGGCAAGAGAUGACACAAGAUUUUUUACCGAGGUUCACUUGCUUCCCGACAAGCUAUUCCUCGUUGUGGCGAUACACCCACUUGAUGGAUCACGAGCUAAUUGGCAAUCCAAAGCCAAACCCUCAGCGGGUGCCGCACAUCCACUCACAAGAUGGGGCUCCUCCAAGCCACGAGCAAUCCACUAGAGUAGCCAAUUGCGAUCUCUCACGGGGAAGGCUCAAGAACCCCUCACAAAUCACUUGGUGUGGCUCAAAACAAUCUCCAAUUAUGAGCUCAACACCACCGCUGCUCCAAGCCAUCUAGGGCAUCGGGAAACACCCAAGAGUAACAAGAAAUCCGCAGCAAACUCAAGAAUCAAGUGCCACUAAAUGCAACUCUCAAAGCAAUACACUUGAAUCUCACUCAAUCUCACUAGGAUUAGCAAUCAAGCAAGGAGAAGAGUGGAGUGAGUGUUCUCUAGCUCAAUGUAUGCCUCAAGUAUUCAAAUGUGCAAGAGAGAGCCUCCCAAAGCCGGCCACCUUCUAUUUAUAAGCCCCUCAAAGAAACUAGUCGUUGGCAGUUUUCACUGGGCUGAAAACGGGGGCACCAGACGCUACUAAGUGAGCACCGGACGCUCUCUACGUCCGGUGCAUUGGAGUUGGCCACGUGUCCGUCCUGAAUCUCGCAUGUCAGAUCCUAACGGUCACCUGCGGAUCCCCGAACGCUCUAUAGGUCCACACUAGAUGCGUCCGGUGCACACCGGACUCAUGCGCAGAGAGUUCCGCAAACCUGCCGGUCACCGGACGCUAAGCACCAGUAGCGUCCGGUGCUCACCGGACCCAUGCGCAGAGAGGGUCGCAAAACGCCCGCACUCCGGACGCUAACCACCUGACGCUCUCAGAGUGCAUCCGGUGCUCAACCCUAGCAUGGUGAAGCACACCGGACUCUGACGCUAGUGUCCGGUGCCUCCGUACUCAGCAUCCGGUGAGUGUUUCUCAGUGAGAAAACACUCCCGCGACUUCUCCAAAAUUCCCACCGGCGCAAUAGAAAAUAUACAUUUAUUUUUCUCAAAAGCGCCGAAUCCCGCCGAGCUUGCUCGGUGGGAGGGAGAGAGGAACCCAAACCCCUCUCAACCCUAGGAACUCCACCUCCUUUGCAAAAGUGCUAACACCAACAAGUGUCCACAACCAAAGUGCAUGUGUGUUAGCUUUUCACAAACAUUUUCCCAAAGAAGUUUAGUUAGCACUUUACUAGAUGCUAAUGCAUAUGCUCAAGAUGUAGGCCUAGUAGCACUUGAUUCGACAGAUGACCGUGAUUUCCCCUCUUGAUAGUCAGCUAUCUAUCCUAAACCCGGUCAAUCACUUCUCUACUCAUCUUAGACCGGCAAAAGUAAAACCCUAUGUUUAUACCUUUGCCUUGAUCACUUUGCUCCUCGUCUAUCACCAUGAUCUUUACUUCAUGCUUCAUCCCUUUGUGAUCAUGUGGCCACCUUUCCAUGCCACCAUGUACCUUCAUCACAUGUGUUGCUAUGCCUAACUCAAAUCACUUAAACACGAGGCAUUAGCAACUUGGUGUCAUUAAUUAACAAAACCAAAUUUGGGCUUUUAAUCUCCCCCUUUUUGGUAAUUGAUGUCAACCAUCACAAAGAUAUGAAAUGAAAUCAUAAUGAAGUUGAAUUGCUUGUCCAAAGCAUUUUAAUCAUGAGACAAGGUUGGACAAACAUUUCAAUUUUGGUUUUGGUAGUACUAGCUCCCCCUACAUAUGUGCUUCCAUGAGUUUGGUUCAAGUUUGCACAUAUGCAUAAAUUGGAAUUUUUGGGAGAUUUAUUACUACCAAAAUGAUGCUAAGGUAUAUAGAAUGGACCUUUGAAGCGUGAUACCAAUCGGAGUUGCCAAUAUACCAUCCUUAGCACCAAUGUAGCUAGACAUACAUUAAAAACUCAAGAUACCUCGUGAGAUCACAUUAUAUGUCUAGAUACCACAUAUAAAUAAAACAUUAUGCUAGAAUUCAAAGCAUCAUUCAAGUUCUAUUUCUAGCAAGCACCAAUCAAACAAGAGUUAUGAAUUUAAACUUGCAAUGCAACACAACAUUAUGUUUAGUGCACAUUCAAAUGCAAUAAAUGGUUCAUGAGCUUGCUCCCCCUAUUUGUGUGCUCAAGUUUUAAUUUAUCCAUUUCAAUUUUUUUAGAAGUCAUCUCUCUCCCUUAAGCACUUUUCUCCCCCUUUAUGACUUUAUCUUUGUUUCUCUCCCCCUUUGUCAUCAAUGGCCACAAAGGUUCAAAUUUUAGUGAGAAUUAAGUCAAUCAAUGUGAGGGUCAAAUUAUGGUUCAAUCUAGAUCACUUGCCUAAAACAUGUAAUUUGGUUUGAUCCAAGGACAAGCUUUUUCACACCUCAAAAAGUAUAAGGGUUAUCUUGACCAUAUUGAAUUACACAUCAUAAGCUCAUAUUCUAGAUUCAACACUAGGCUUGCAAGCUCACAAACAUGUCAUAUGCUACCACUAGAUCAAACAACCAUAGAAACAAUAGUGGUACCAUACAUACAUCAAAUUCUUUUGAUUUUCAUGAAUGAGCCUAUUGUCAUGCAAACAUGUCUAUAUGUUCUAAUCAUGUGCUUAGCAAAGUAUGAAUGCUAUGUCAACCAUCGUUACCUUGCUUUGUUGGAGGAGAGGCAUGGCAUAUAGAAAUGUGGGGGUGCACUCAUCUCAAGUUGGAGAAGUCAAGUAUGCUCAAUUCAUUUCUCAACUUGCAAAAUCUCUUCUCAUCAAGUGGCUUUGUAAAGAUGUCGGCUAGUUGAUCUUCGGUGCCAAUGCUUUCAAUGCUAAUGUCACCCUUUUGUUGAUGGUCUCUUAUGAAAUGGUGCCUUAUGUCAAUGUGCUUGGUUCCUGAAUGUUGAAUCGAACUUUGUGUCAUCUUGAUUGCACUCUCAUUGUCACAUAGCAAAGGCACAUUCUUGAAUUUGAUUCCAAAGUCAUUCAAGGUAGCUUUCAUCAAAAGCAAUUGUGCACAACAACUACCAGCACUGAUGUAUCCGGCCUCGGCCGUUGAUAGUGCAACACUAUUUUGUUUCUUUGAUGACCAUGAAACUAGAGACCUUCCUAGCAAUUGACAAGUGCCACUUGUGCUCAUUCUAUCAAUCUUGCAUCCACCAUAGUCGCAGUCCGAAUAUCCAAUCAACUCAAAGUUAGACCCCUUGGGAUACCAUAAUCCAACAUCAUGAGUGCCCUUUAGAUACCUCAAUAUUCUUUUAGUUGCCUUCAAGUGACUUUCUCUAGGUGAAGCUUGGUAUCUUGCACAUUUGCACACACUAAACAUCACAUCCGACCUUGAUACGAUGACAUAGAGCAAACUUCCAAUCAUGGACCGAUAUAGCUUUUGAUCUACCAUGUUGCCACUUGCAUCACUACCUAAUUGAUCAUUUGUGCCCACAGGUGUGCUCAUUUGUUUAGCUUCUUGCAACCCGAACUUCUUGAUCAUGUCCUUGAUGUACUUGGCUUGACUUAUAAAAGUGCCAUCCUUCAUUUGCUUGAUUUGAUGACCAAUGAAGUAACUAAGCUCUCCAAUCAUGGACAUCUCAAACUCAUUUGCCAUCAUUCUUCCAAACUCUUCACAAAAGUCAUGAUUGGUUGAUCCAAAGAUGAUAUCAUCAACAUAGAUUUGCAACACAAACAAGUCCUUGCCUAGCUUCUUGGUGAAGAGGGUAGUGUCAACCUUUCCCAUCUUGAACCCUUUAGAGAGAAGAAAAUCUCUCAAUCUCUCAUACCAUUCUCUAGGUGCUUGCUUUAAACCAUAAAAUGCCUUCUUGAGCUUGAAAACAUGGUUGGGUUUCUUGUCAUCUUCAAAACCGAGAGGUUGUUCAACAUAAACCAACUCAUUGAUGUAUCCAUUGAGAAAUGCACUCUUCACAUCCAUUUGAUAUAGCUUGAUGUUGUGGGCACAAGCAUAUGCUAAAAAUAUUCUAAUUGCCUCCAAUCUUGCAACCAGUGCAUAUGUUUCUCCAAAGUCAAGACCUUCAACUUGAGUGUAGCCUUGUGCUACUAAUCUUGCUUUGUUUCUCACAACUACACCAUCUUGAUCUUGCUUGUUUCUAAGGACCCACUUGGUACCAAUCACAUUGUAGUUAUUUGGCCUCUCAACAAGCUCCCACACUUGAUUUCUUGUGAAGUUGUUCAAUUCUUCAUGCACGGCAUUUACCCAAUCGGAAUCUUUCAAUGCAUCUUCUAUCUUCUUAGGUUCCUCAAAUGAGACAAAUGAGUAGUGCUCACAAAAGGUUGCUAGCCUUGAUCUUGUUUGAACACCACUUUGAAUACCACCGAUGACUUGAUCUAAUGGAUGAUCCCUUGCUAUGCUAGUAGGUUGGAGUAUUAGGAGUUGAUUGCUUCCACUUGCUUGAUUUUGAUUUUGAUAAUCAACAUGAGAGCCACUAGUACUUGCUUGAUUUGUAUCAAUUUGCACUUCUUGAUUGAUCAUGUGAAUGUCAUUGUCAUCAUCAACUUGCAUCGGCCUUAUGUCACCAACAUCCAUGUUUUUCAUUGCAUUAGCCAAUUGAUCUCCUCUCACAUCAUCAAGAUUUUGAGCUUCAGUUGAGAUCCCUCGUUUCUCAACUCUACAUCAUGACUUCUUCCAAUGUGCCACUUGCCAAGUUCCAACUCUAUAUGCCUUGCUUGUGGUGGAAUAACAAAGUAAGAACCCUUCAUCACAUUUCUUCUCAAACUUGCUCAAUCUAGUGCCUUUCUUGAGAAUGUAGCAUUUGCAACCAAACACUCUAAAGUAUGCAAUGUUGGGCUUUCUUCCAUUUAAUAGCUCAUAUGGUGUCUUCCCAAGCUUCCCAUGGCAAUAGAGACGGUCGCUACAAUAGCAAGCAAUGUUGAUAGCUUCACUCCAAAAUGAAUGGGUAACAUUGUAUUCACUAAGCAUUGAUCUAGCCAUAUCAAGCAAGGUUCUAUUCUUCCUUUCAACUACACAAUUGAAUUGAGAAGUGUAUGUUGGAGAGAAUUGAUGUCUAAUGUCAAGAUCAUCACACAAUUCAUCAAUACUUGUGUUCUUGAAUUCACUACCAUUGUCACUUCUAAUCUUCUUGAUAUUGGUUUUAAACUCAUUUUGCAUCCUCUUGACAAAAGACUUGAAUAGAUCACAAACAUCACUCUUGUCACAGAGGAAGAACACCCAAGUGUAUCUAGUGUAGUCAUCUACUAUCACAAAUCCAUAAUUGUUGCCCAAAUAAAUCCAUGUGCAAUAGCUCAAAUGCCUUUGAUGUGCUCAUUUCACUUUUAUUAGGAUGUGCAUUUCCAACUUGCUUUCCGGCUUGACAAGCACUACAUGGUUUAUCCUUCUCAAAUGUGACAUCCUUCAAGCCUCUAACUAUGUCAUGCCUCAAAAGUUUGUUCAAUUGUUUCAUUCCAACAUGACCAAGCUUUCUAUGCCACAACCAACCCAAACUUGAUUUGUUAAUUAGGCAUGAUGUCAAUUGAGUGUCACUAUCAUUGAAAUCAACCAAGUAUAAGCUACCAUGCCUAAAUCCUUUGAAUAUCAAGUUUGAUCCAUCAACACUAAUCACCUCAACAUCAUCACUACCAAAGAUGCACUUGAAACCAAGGUCACAAAGUUGUGCAAUUGACAAGAGAUUGAAAUCAAGGCUUUCAACUAGCAACACAUUUGAUAUACUCAUGUCAUUUGAGAUAGCAAUUUUACCAAGUCCCUUGACCUUGCCUUUCUUGUUGUUGCCGAAGGUGAUUGAAUCAAAGCCACCAUUUAGACUAGUAUCAAACGACUUGAACAUACAAGACUCUCCGGUCAUAUAUUGAGUGCACCCACUAUCAAGCACCCAAUGCCUUCCUCCGGCUUUGUAAUUGACCUACAAGACAAGAUCAAUUCUUUUUAGGUACCCAAACUUGAUUGGGUCCUCCAAGGUUAGCAACUAAGCUCUUUGGUACCCAAAUGGCUUUCUUCUUUGAGCCCAUCCAUGGUGCACCAAUGAACUUAGCAUGAACACAUUUUGUAUCCUUGGUAAGCACAUAGAAAGAAUUAAGCUUAAUUGAGGAUACAUGAGCUUUGGGUUUCUUGUUCACGCAUUGUUGCUCUAAGUGACCGACUUGCUUGCAAGAUUUGCAAUACCGGCCAUUGUUCUUCACAAAACUAGUCUUGUGAGGAGCAAAAGCGGCCUUGGCUUUCUUGGGGUUAUAGCCUAAUCCCUCUUUAUAGAGAGAAGCUCGUUGGCUACCCAAGCACAUAAGCAAGCGGUCCUCACCACCAUAAGCCUUGGCUAAGGUGUGAUUGAGCUCCUUCACCUUCUUUUUGAGAAUUUCAUUCUCAACUUUUAGUGUGGUUUCACAUGUGAAACCAUCACUACUCGAUGAGGAUGAUGUAUAUGUGCUACAUGAGCGGUUAGUAGAAGAAACAACAAUAGGCUGACUUAAGAUAUCACAUGUUAGGCCUAUGUUGCAAGUUUUAGCUUUCACCAUUUUAGUAGGCUCAUUUUCACACUUGUUAACUAGAGAGGAAUGAGCUUCUUUAAGCUUAGUGUGAGCCUUUUGAAGCUUCUUAUGGUCUUCCUUUAGACUCUCAUAAGAUGCUCUAAGCUCAUCAAGUUCUUGCUCAAGGGUUUUCUUAUCCAUGAGCAAGGCCUUGCACUCCUUUCUAGUUUCUUUAUAGUGAUGAGUGCAAUCCUCUAGCAUAGUGAUUAGUUCAUCUUUAGUUGGUUCAUCAUCACUAUCACUAUCACUAUCACUAUCACUAUCACUAUUAAUAUCACUAGCAUGGUCACUCUCAUCAUCGGAUGAUACCUUAGUGGCCUUAGCCAUGAAGCAUGAUGGAGUGUCGAAGAUGGAGCUUUUUCCUUGAAUGGCAAUGCUAGCAUGCACCUUCUUCUUAGUCCUCUCCUCAUCACUUGAGGAGUCAUCACUAUCCCAAGUUGCAACAUGGGCAUCACCCUUCUUCUUGUUUGAGCCUUCCUUCUUUUCUUGCUUCUUCUUUUGCUUCUUUCUUUCUUUCCUUCUUGAUAGCAUCUUCAUCAUCACUAUCAUAAGGACACUUGGUGAUGAGAUGAUUCUUGCUAUGGCAUCUAAAGAACCUCAUGGAAUGGUCAUUCUUCUUUGAGGAGCUCUUCUUCCUUCUUGCCCGAUAGCCUUUCUUUUUCAUAAACUUGCCAAAUCUCUUGACAAGAAGAGCCAUCUCCUCAUCUUCAUCACUAUCACAAGAGCUUGCUUCUUCUUCACUUGAUGACUCUAUCUUGGCUUUGCCCUUGGAUGAGGAGGCCUUGAAUGCCACACUUUUCUUCUUCUCAUCAUCUUUCUUCUCACCAUCCUUCUUCUUCUUCUUCUUCUUGAUCAACUCAUCCUUCUCAUCAUGUUCCCUAUAAGCAUCAUCGGUCAUCACCUCUUGGAAGACUUGUUGAGGAGUUGAAUCACUAAGUGUUGUCUUGACUAGCACGGUGAUCAAUGUGUCAAAUCUCUUGGGCAAGCUUCUCAAGAACUUCAUAGAAAAUUGACUAUCUUUUACUUCUUCCCCAAGUUCCUUGAGUUCAUUCACAAUGACUUGCAACCGGUGAAACAUCUCUGGCACACUUUCAUCUUCUUGCAUCUUGAAGCUUGAGAACUUUUCUUGGAGGAUGUAAGCUUUGGCGGUCUUGGUACCUUUGGUGCCUUCAAAUGUUUCUUCUAAUUUUGCCCAUGCAUCAUGAGCAACCUCAAUGUUCUUGAUUUGCUCAAAAGUCUUGUCAUCAAGAGCUUCAUGAAGAGCACUAAUUGCGAUGUCAUUGCAUUGAAGCUUCUUUUCUUCAACCGGUGUUGGUGCAUUUUCAUUUGCAACCUCAAACUUUGUUUCGGUCACCUUUCAAACAUCUCUAUUGAUUGACUUGAGAUGGGCGGUCAUCUUGACCUUCCAAUAAGCAUAAUUUGUGCCAUCAAAGUAAGGUGCCUUCUUAGUGUUGUUGAUAUGCAAACUAAGAGCCAUUUUUUCACCGUAGGUUGUUAAGCCUCAAAUAAACGGUGCCUCGGCUCUGAUACCACUUGUAAGGACCAAAUGGCCAGAGGUAGAGUGUAGAGUGAUUGUUAUACCAAUGUUGUAGAGUAGAGAUAUAUCCAACCAAUCACUCACAAUCACAAUCACAAUAGAUAAACCUCGGCAAGAGAUGACACAAGAUUUUAUACCGAGGUUCACUUGCUUCUCGCCAAGCUACUCCUCGUUGUGGCGAUACACCCACUUGAUGGAUCACGAGCUAAUUGGCAAUCAAAAGCCAAACCCUCAGCGGGUGCCACACAUCCACUCACAAGAUAGGGAUCCUCCAAGCCACGAGCAAUCCAGUAGAGUAGCCAAUUGCGAUCUCUCGCGGGGAAGGCCCAAGAACCCCUCACAAAUCACUUGGUGAGGCUCGAAACAAUCUCCAAUUACGAGCUCAACACCACCGCUGCUCCAAGAAUCUAGGGAAACGAGAAACACCCAAGAGUAACAAGAAAUCUGCAGCAAACUCAAGAAUAAAGUGCCACUAAAUGCAACUCUCAAAGCAAUGCACUUGAAUCUCACUCAAUCUCACUAGGAUUAGCAAUCAAGCAAGGAGAAGAGUGGAUGGAGUGUUCUCUAGCCCAAUGUAUGCCUCAAGUAUUCAAAUGUGCAAGAGAGAGCCUCCCAAAGUCGGCCAUCUUCUAUUUAUAAGCCCCUCAAAGAAACUGGUCGUUGGCUGUUUUCACUGGGCUGAAAACGGUGGCACCGGACGCUACUAAGUGAGCACCGAACGCUCGACUCUCUGCGUCCGGUGCACUGGAGUUGGCCACGUGUCCAUCUUGAUCUCGCGUGUCAGAUCCUAAUGGUCACCUACGGAUCUGAAAAUUUGCAACUUUUGAAAUAGGUGAAAAAUGAUUUAAUUUUGUAUUUUUGUGCUAAUCAAACAUAGGGAAAAUAAUAUUUGUCAUUAAAAUAAAACUUAUUAUAGAAUUUAGUAACAUGUAUGUGCACUCAUGCUGGAGCAUUUAUAUUUUUGUACUGUGUGACUUUGAGCAAAGUUGAAAAUUGUUUCAAAAUGAUUUGAAAAUGGUUUGGAAAUAAAAAAAAUAAAAAAACAAAACCCUUUCCCCUCUCUAAUUCUAGCCCAACCGGCUUCCCCUUCUUCCCCCCCCCCCCCCCCCCGCGGCCCACUCUUCUCCCUCGGCCCAAUGGCCAGCCCAGCAGAGCAGCAGCCGCGCUCAGCCCACCCUGCCCCGCGCCUUUCUCCGUCUCUCUUUGGCUGGCGAGCAGGCCCCACCCCUUCUUUCACCGCCAGCCGGGUCCCACGCGACAGAUCUUCCCCAUCUCCUCCUACCUUCGUUACGAGACGGAGCCGAGCCGGACUCCGGUUCCUCUUUCCCUGCGUGGAGCCAACCGAAAUCUUUCAAUCCCGAAAACCUCGGAGUUUCCUGCUAUAACUUGUCCUAUAAAAAUUCUAGCGUCACGCCGCACAUUUUCCCUUCUAUGCCGUAAAAACCGAACCCUAGGCGCCCUAUUUGAGCUCGGUUGGAUCUCACCGAGCGAAACACCUUUCCCAACACGGCGCGAGCUCCCUGCUGCCUUCCGACCCGAGCUUAGUGCCUUGGUGAAUUCGCCUUCUCCUCCUCUGCGCGCCCAUGGUCUCGCUUUUCGUUUUGGUGCUCGGAAUCAGGAGGUUGGCGAGCUCCGAUGAGCUCCGCGGCGACGCUCAUGGUGAACCACCGCGCCGGAGCUCUCCCUGGUGGCCGGCCGGCCGGGCACAGCCCUGGGUGGGACGCGAGCCGUCAAAACUCCGAUCAACGCACGAGAUUAGAACGUAACCCUUCGGCCUGCAAUUUUCUUAAAGAGUCCCUAGAGAAUUUCGUUAUCCAACCCGCAGUCCCUUGGCGCCCAUGAGAAAUCCGUUUAUUAUCCUAGAAAACGUAAACAGAUCUGCUUGAGUCAGAAAUACGCUUUCUGCUAUUUACAGAUUUGCCACUGUGAGUAAUUUGCUCAUAAGAUGUUCGUUUUAACUCCGUUUUUGUCCAUUCAAAUUUUGUUAGAUUCGUAUUUAUGAGCUCUACAUUCUAGAAGUAUUAGUUCACUGUUUUGAAACUUUCAAAUUUCACAGUAGCAUUUAAUUAGUUAUCUAUCUAUAGGAAAUCUUAGAAAAAUCAUAACUUCUGCGUUUUAACUCCGAUUUUCGUCAACCUUACGUUUGUGUGAUCGUAGCGCUGCAUAGAUUAUUUUUAUAAACUUUUAUCUUUGAUUUCCCACUGUUUGGUGUAUUGUUCUAAUUAUAGCUUGUUUGCUUAGUGUAUGAUUGUCUACAUUGGAUUGCGUGUUGUUGAUUGAUGAUCGAGUUUAGUCGGUGAGCUUUACGUUGGUGAUCAAGGUCAAGCUUUUGACGACCAGCAGCAGGCUCAGGAGAGCUUUGAUCAAGGCAAGUAUAACUGGGGAUCAUUCUUGUUACCCAUACACCAUUAAUACAAUAUUUAUCAUUUGCAUGUGUCCACCUUGAUGACCUUAGCAAAAUCAUAGAUGAUUGUUAUCCUAAAUUCCUUGUUACCUAUUUUGGAUAUGCAUUUGGGUAGUUCUUGCUAGUGCUUGAAUAUAAUCCAUGAUCUUGUAAGAUGAAUGUUUGGAUAUACAAUAAACAAUAAAAUAAGCUUUCUAGCAACUUGAAUAUAAAGGGUGGAAAGAACUCUAGCUUUUGCUAGAUUGAUCUUGACCCUCCAUAAGGACUUAUCCCUUGGCAAAAGCUAGGACAACUCGUACAACCAUGAGGGCUAUAUGGCUCUGGCUUUAGUCAAGUAUGAGUAAGCUUUUCUAGCUUGUUAGCGGUUACCCGAAAGGGUGCUAGAGGGGCUGAACCGUUUUGGGUAUAGUGUGAGCCCAUGUCCUUAUGUGUAUAGGCUAUGCGUCAUUGUGCCAUUUGGAAGGGGGGUAUCUAUAUCUGCGCGCAAACGAAACCUUGCGGCCCUAACUGGUUAGAUGAACCUUUAAAAGACUUCAUAGUGAUCCCUGCCGAACUCCCUUAGAAGGGGGUUAAGAGACUCAUGACCUCGGGCGAAAGGGUAAAUCAUGACUCAUGGGUAAAGAUGUACAACCUCUGCAGAGUGUUAAUCUGGUAUACUAGCCGUGCCCACGGAUACGGGCGGCCCAGAAAACUGACGGAAUAGACGGACACUAAUGAACAUGAUUAAUGAUGAUAAAGGAUGGUUUAUUAUGUUGUUUAUAUGUGUUAUUCAUAAUUCCUGUAUACAAUUGAUCAUGUGGUUAUGGGAUUAUUUAUGCUACCUUAAUAUUUGCUAUCCAAUGAAUAAACAUGCUAUCCACUAUUAAAAGCUAAAUGCAGUCAAACUAGUGUCAGCUCUUUGAGCCUCAUGAACUCCUGGUUAUACUUGUUGGGUACGAUAUGUGCUCACUCUUGCAAUUUCCCCCACACCUCAGGAGAAGUUUUGGGCUUGUGAUCAACCAGUCAGCUCGAUCCUAUGGAGAGAAGUUAAUACCCGAAGUUGGAGUUGACGAAACACUGUUUGCUAUUAAAGGUUAUCUCUUUUAUACUAAGUACGUUAUAUAUUUACGCAUUGUCUUAUGAUAUUACCCUUUAUUUGAAGCUAUAUGUGAGAUUUGACUUCUAAAACUCACAUAUGGUGUAUAUCUGGUUUUGUCCUUAAAAUCGGGUAUUACAGGAUCACCGGACGCUCUGUAGGUCCACACCGGACUCAUGCACAGAGAGUUCCGCAAACCUACGGGUCACCGGACGCUAAGCACCAGUAGCGUCCGGUGCUCACCGGACCCAUGCGCAGAGAGGGUCGCAAAACGCCCGCACUUCGGACGCUAACCAGUGGACGCUCUCAGAGUGCGUCCGGUGCUCAACCCUAGCAGGGUCAAGCACACCGGACUCUGAGGCUAGCGUCCGGUGCCUCCGUACCCAGCGUCCGGUGCCUCCGUACUCAGCGUCCGGUGAGUGUUUCUCAGUGAGAAAACACUCCCGCGACUUCUCCAAAAUUCCCACCGGCGCAAUAGAAAAUAUACACUUAUUUUUCUCAAAAGCGCCGAAUCCCGCCGAGCUUGCUCGGCGGGAGGGAGAGAGGAACCCAAACCCCUCUCAACCCUAGAAACUCCACCUCCUUUGCAAAAGUGCUAACACCAACAAGUGUCCACCACCAAAGUGCAUGUGUGUUAGCUUUUCACAAACAUUUUCCCAAAGGAGUUAAGUUAGCACUUUACUANNNNNNNNNNNNNNNNNNNNNNNNNNNNNNNNNNNNNNNNNNNNNNNNNNNNNNNNNNNNNNNNNNNNNNNNNNNNNNNNNNNNNNNNNNNNNNNNNNNNCAGAUGUAGGCCUAGUAGCACUUGAUUCGAGAGAUGACCGUGAUUUCCCCUCUUGAUAGUCGGCUAUCUAUCCUAAACCCGGUCAAUCACUUCUCUACUCAUCUUAGACCGGCAAAAGUAAAACCCUAUGUUUAUACCUUUGCCUUGAUCACUUUGCUCCUUGUCUAUCACCAUGAUCUGUACUUCAUGCUUCAUCCCUUUGUGAUCAUGUGGCCACCUUUCCAUGCCACCAUGUACCUUCAUCACAUGUGUUGCUAUGCCUAACUCAAAUCACUUAAACACGAGGCAUUAGCAACUUGGUGUCAUUAAUUACCAAAACCAAACUUGGGCUUUCAACAUACCUUGUGCUUGUCAUUCAUACGAUCUUCUUGCUCCAAUUCUGGAAAUGUUAGUGGCAAGAAUACUCAAAGGAAUAUUUUUAAAAUUAUCCUUAUAUGUUCAAUACACAAGGUAAUGUUUAAUAGCUCAUGUUACAAUCUGAUCAGUGCUUGUUUUAGGACACUAAGCUUGUCCUUGGGAAACCAUCAAUUUAUGUCGGCGAAGUGGUUUCCCUUCCAACGCUGACCUAUAUCAAGAUCAACUCCACGAGAUCUGCAAUAUUUAUUAUAGACAUAUGCAUCGACAACCAUCCUUUUAAAGUUUUUAUAAAUAGAAAGGAAGAGGGGGCUGGAGUUCUCAAAUGUGGUGAUGUUGGAGAGACCAAUAGAUUGGGAAGAUGUUGCAUAUGAGCAUGGAGUAAGUGAAGUGGCUAUGAAAUAAAUUCCAUGCUCAUUAAUGUUAUCUUCGUCUCCAAUCUGAAUGUUUGGAGUUUCUCCUAGAUUGGUCUCGCCUAUGCCCUCUUCUGUAGUUUGAUGAAUCUCAUCUUCAAAGGGAGUUAAGAACUCACCAUUUGAAAUUGAGCCAAAGUCAGAAUCCAUUAAGGCUUCUUCCUUGUCCAUCCAUUCAAUGGUGAAAGGACAUGGGUUUUUAAUGCCCUCUAGCCAUUGAUGUUGCUCUUCUCGAUCCUCCUUAUGGUCUUGGUGACUCUUAUGCAUUGGAUGUCUAAAGAGAUUCAUAGGAUGAUCGGGAGGUUCAAGAGAAAGAGCAUAGUAGAAAUUAUUAGGCUCUGGGAUGGGUUUAAAGAUAGGUUCGAAUGAGUCAUCAAAAGUGGGCGUAGAAGGGGAGAAGAUGAGAUUGUCUUCUAGAUGGCUUCGCUCUCCUUCUAUUGCAUCACUUAAGAUGCUAUCCUUGAGUCUUAGAUGACCAUUAAAGGGAUUGGAUUUGAGAUGCUUUCUAAGAGAUCCCUUCUUAGGAAGGUUCAAACUAUAUGCACUCAAGGGUCUCUUAUGAAGCAGGAAGUUUAAGCUCAUCCCAAAAUGAAUUUCCAAUGGUAGAAUUUCUUCUUCCCUUAGAUGAUUUUGGAGCACUACUAGUUGGAUAGCCGAAUCAUGGGAUUGAAAUGUUUGGAAAUCAGCUAUUGAAACUUCCUUUCCUUGUCUGGGAGAUGAUUCCUUCUCUAUCUCUAGGAUUUUUUAUGAAGACUAGUGCAAGAAGGAUGUCCACGAAUGAAGACAUACCUUGCUUUAGUAACAGAUAAAGAAAGAAAAAUUGUACCCAAGGUUAUAUGAUUAAGACCAAUGUGAAAAUAUCGAGGAAAAACAUGGUCUUGUAGGGCUAGGUCUAAACCAGAAUUUAUAGAAAGAUUAACAGAUUCCCUAGGUGUAGCUAAAAGUUCAUUAUCUUGUUGAUUAAAAGAUAGGACCUCAGCUAUAGAAAAGGGUUGGUUUUGACCUAUUGCAAUCAACUCCGGACACAGAUCAUAAUUAGGGGCAAAGAAAGGACAUGUUGACCCCCAUGGUCUAUGGCUGGUCUCUGAAGGUGCAAAAAAUUCAAUAAUAGGUGUGGAAUUUGAGUUAUCCAUAAAGAUGGAAAAAAUAAAAAGAUAAAAGAAUAAAAGUAUAAUACAAGAUAAUAGCAAGACUUAAAGUUAUCUCAGCAAACCGUCUUUCUCCUCGGCAACGGCGCCAGAAAUGCUUGUUGAUAUUUGGUAACGCCAUGAGGAAUUGAUCCGCAAGUGCACGGAUAUCGGUGAGCACUUCACCUGGAAGGUUAUCCAAAGUAUCGUAUUUAUAUUUUUACCACUGGGAGAAAGUGUGCAUCUAACUAACCAAAUCUAUUGCUACUACCCUUUAGGCUACAAAGAAUGUGACUCGAUGUGAGUGAUGUAUAGAGACGACUACAACCGUAAUCUCGUUCUAACCUUGGUAAGGAUGAUCUACUAUUCUGUUGGGGAGGCUCACGGAAUCUAGACAUUACAGAGGAUGUUCGACCCGCACCUAUAAACCCUACAAUCCUACUAACGGGAUAUGGGCUACAAAGGUAACUUGGAAAUGCCACGUUCCUCACUACUACCACGGUCCAGCUAGUCAGGGGAUAUCUAUGAGUAUCCUAGCCCAAACACCACGUUUAUGCUAGAGAUGAUUACUCUAAACUCUACGCGAAGAGAUCAAAGUAAACUCAUAAACCAAAGAACAAUAAAACAAGAACUUACUAGAAUUUAGAAGUCGAAAUACUGAAGCAUCCUAGCAGCAAGUCUCGGGUUAGGAGACUUGAUCCCGCAGGUACAACCUCAGAGUAGACACCGAUAGGCCGGGCUUCCUCCGAUCCACACCUCCACUCUAUCUCUCUCAAUCUAGUAGAACUAGUCUACUCUCACAUUGGAUGCUAAGCCCUAAGUCUAUGUAGAGGAAAGGUUAUCCUUCGAGGGCACCUCUCAACUCUAUAAUGAACUUGUUCUCCUCCAGGGGCCAGGGGGUCUGCUUAUAUAGUCGGAUCAAACCGUCAUUGAUUGAACGGUUAUCCUUGAUCCUUUAGGUUGGUGGAGCAUAAUUCACGAGAUUGAACGUGAUUGGCCACAACACCUAGGCGGGCACCCAAGGGGGGAGGGCGGGCGCCCUGCCCCCGGGCCCGUUCGGCCUCCCGUUUGUUUCCGUGGCUUCUGGACUAAGUCUGGGUGUUGGUUGCAUUUGGAUCCUUUUCUUUAUUUAUUUGAUGAUUAUAUUUGGUACUUAAGGACCGUCAACAACCGGUGAAAUGGAAAUGCCCUAGGUUAUACCUUUGCCUUGCGCUUUCCAUUCCAUCUCCUCCAAUGUUGAUGCAACACAUGCACCAACCAAUCACCAAAUGAUAUGAUCCACUUCAUAUCAUCACGUGACCGUAUUGGUUCAUCGAUCUUGACAUCACUUUCUCUUCACCAUUGCCUCGGUCCAUCGGUGCCAAGUCUUGCUCAAGCUUCACCGUCACGCGCGGACCCUCGCUUCAAAGCCUCCGACUUGCCCUUCACUCUUGCAACUGGUCCAUCAAGCCAAGCCUCAUCUUGAUCUUCUCCACCUUGGUCACAUGACUCCAUGUCAUGUCUCAUAUGCAAUGAGCUCCUCCAUAAUCACAUAAUCACCUGUGGACUAAUCUCCUGUGUAUCUCAUAUAAACACAAUUAGUCCACCUAAGUUGUCAAUCAAUUACCAAAACCAAACAAGGACCUUUCACCUUCUGAUUAACUAUUUUUAUCACGCCUCUUAUUUAGUCAAUCCACUUAUCCGGUUGUCCCUCCUUCCACGAAGUAGGCCCACGGGUAGUUUUCUGACUUGCCAAAAAUUGAGAUUAACAUAAACAAGAUCAUUGAAUCCAACUGUGAUAUCAUUAGUAUCCAAGAAACCAAGAGAAGUGACUUUGAUCUGAACUAUAUUAUGAAGUUUUGCCCAAAAUCCUUUGAUGCUUUCUGCUUCUUGCCUUCUGUAGGCACUUCUAUUGGUAUUCUUGUCACUUGGAAAGGUUGUUUCUUUUUAGGGGUUGAGGUUUUUUAGAAUAAUUUCGCUAUUUCUGUUGAGUUCCCCUCUCUCUUCAAUAGUGAUUCUUGGAUUCUCACCUCUGUCUAUGGGCCUUGUUCUUCUAAAGGAAAUGUUGCCUUCACCAAGUGGCUAGAGAACAUUCAUAUGCCUGAUGACAUUCAUUAGCUGGUUGUGGGAGAUUUAACCAUAUCAAAAAACGGGAGGAUAGGAAUAAAAGGGGGCAACCUAGGAUAAAUGCUUAUGUUCAAUAAUGCUAUUAGUCCCUUGGGUCUGGUAGAGAUCCCCCUUCAUGGCAGGAAAGUUACUUGGACCAAUAAACAACACCCUCCUCUCCUUGAAAGAUUGGACUAGUUUUUCUCUUCUUAGUCCUAGACUCUCAGAUUUCGAUUUACCACUGCACACUCCUUAGUCUUGGGGACUUCUGAUCAUUGGCCCUGCUUAGUUGAGGUCAAGACUAUCAUUCCAAAUGGAAAGGUUUUUAGAUUUGAAAAUUGUUGGAUGUGCCACCCUAAGUUCCUAAUGGUUGUUUCAAAUUCUUGGAAUGCCCCUUUCCCUAGCUUGAUGCAGCCAAGCUCCUGACUGCCAAAUUCAAAUCCCUCAGAAACAGUCUCAAGUGCUGGGAGGCUCAACUGUCUAACUUGAAGAAGACCAUUGCAAAUAUCAAGCUUAUUAUCUCUUUUUUGGACACUAUUGAAGAAUGGAGAGACCUUGAGUUGCAGUAGUGGAAUUUCAGAGAUAUCCUUAAUAACAAACUUUCUGACCUCCUCCACCAGCAGAUGAUCUAUUGGAAACAAAUGGGCAAUAUAAAGUGGGUGCAACUUGGUGAUGAAUGCUCCAAGCUUUUCCAUGCUCAUGCCACCCUUAAGCAUAGAAGGAAUUUAAUCACCUCCUUGUCUUUCCAUCAUGUAGUCCUGGUUUCUAACCACAGUCAAAAGGCUGCCCUUGUUUGGAAUUAUUUUAAGGAAAGAUUAGGCUCCUCCAACCAUGAGUAGAUGCUUUUUGAUCUGAACUCUCUCUCCACCCAGGAUGUGGACCUCAGCCCCCUUGAGGAACCCUUUGGCCAGUAAGAAAUUGAUGAGAUCAUAAGGCAACUUCCAUCUGACAUAUCCCUGGGCCCAAAUGGCUUUAAUAAUGAGUUCCUAAAAAUGUUGACAUAUAAUAAGGCAUGACUUUUAUAGCUUGUGCAAUGCCUUCUGGCAUGGGGAGAUUUGUCUUCAGAGUAUAAAUGGAUCUUUUAUCACUCUGAUUCCAAAAAUUGAUGGGCCAACUAGAAUUUGUGAUUUUAGACCCAUUUCUCUCUUUAAUUCAUUUGUCAAGGUGCUGACCAAACUACUUCCUAACAGGCACCAACCUCUCAUCACCAAGCUCAUCCAAACCAAUUAGUAUGGCUUCAUUAGGUCACGUUCCAUCCAAGAUUGUCUGGUGUGAUCUUUUGAAUAUUUGCACCUGUGUCACACAUCUAGAAAGAGAUUAUCAUCCUGAAACUGGACUUUGAGAAGGCUUUGGAUAGAAUUGAGCAUGGGGCUAUGCUUCAAAUUAUGAAAAAGAAAGGAUUUGGUGAUAGGUGGCUUUCUUGGAUGAAGACGAUUUUUAGCUCAGUGUUGACAUUUACUACCGUCAUUACUAAGAAGCAGAAAUAACUCCUACCCCUAGCAACAAUGCCAGAAAUGCUCAGUAUAUAAUUAACUUGUCAUUUAGCUACUAGCCACUUCUUAGUUACUAACAUUCCUAAACAUAAAGUAGGUUGUCAUCCCUAAUUCUAUUGCUAGGAAAUUAUUAUAAAUUUACAUGUACUAAUGUGACUAGGCAGAUAUAAAAGAUAUGAAUGUAACAUGAUUGUAAACUAAAUGGGUUCUGCAAGCGGACAAAUAACUAUACCGUUGUUGCAUUUUACCUAGGAAGUUCAUCCACGUUGUCGAUUUAUAUUUAUACCACUGGGAAAGCUAUGUAAUAAACUAUAAUCUAUUAUAUUGAUAAAAGACUAUAUAGGAUGAAUAAGUGAUAUUACCAAGAUCAUCUAAUCUACUCAUAAUAGGCAGAUGUCACAAGAUAAAUAUGGGUGAUAGCUGUUGACACUAGCUAACACCACUUAGAUACUAGGUUGUCAUCCCUAGCAUGGCGCCAGAGUGUACAAAGGUAUUUAUAAAUGUAAAGGCUCUCUAGAAAAUAAUCUAUUCUAUCCGCAAGAGCACAGAUAAAACACCUCAUUGUAGCAUUUCCCCAGGAUAAGUAUUCCAGGUAUCGUUAUUUAUAAUUUUGCUCAAGGGAUCUAAAGAAGAUGGAAUUAAAUCAAGGGACAAAAUCUAUCAAGGCAUAGACUAGAGAUAAACUUGCAAGAACAUGAUUACUAAUGAGAAACUCGUCACACAGUCACUUACUUUAGCAGGGGGUAAACCAUAAAGAUAAUGACAAUAAAGUAUAAGUUCAUGGGUAGAUAGCACAGCGAUUAGAAAAUAGACUACUCCUCAUAUAUGUAGGUGAUGUCGGAUUAGCUAGAGAAUGGAUUCUAUGUUAUCUACUAACUACUAAGUCAUAAUCUACUCUAGUUAUCUACAAGAUCAUAUAUAGCAUAAAAGACUCUUCAUUCAUGUAUAAGGAACAUUGAUAAAGUAAAUCAGAGCAUCGCAUGACUUACUCCACAAUACCGGUUCUGCCUGUCCUAUCAACGGAGGGUGGACUAUAUAAGAAUCAACGAAGCUGUCACUAUCGCGAACUACCACACGACCCGGCCAAUAGGAUACAUUUGUCGAUAAAUAACAUCUAAGCACCACGCUCACAUGUGAUCUAUCACCUAACUCCCUCGCGUCAAGAGCAAAGCGCUUUGCAAACUUAUACAUAAACUCAUUAUCAAUUAGAACUAUAUCAAAUAUAGAACUAGAGCAAACUAAGAACAUAAUAAUUAGAGACAUAAUGCAAUUAGAACAAUAGAAUUAGAGAAAGAUAUGAAUAAUACCAAUCUUUAUUACCGAAGAUCCGAAUCCAGAGCGUAGUGCUCUACUUCUCUAAUUGCUAUCUAAUCAAACCUCUAAACUUGAAGGAUUAGGGAGUAGCUAAUUCUAAUUCUCUGUGGGAGAGAAGCUCUAAACCCUAACUUUGAUGGCUACCUCUGAAUAAUGAUUUCUCCUCUCUCCUCCAGGGGCCAGGGGGUCUGGUUUUAUAGUCCCCUCAAGUGAACGUGAGCCAUUGGAUCAAACCGACAUAGAUUGUAUGGUUUAGAUUGAUCCUUUAGGUCGGUGGAGAGUUGUCCCGAAGCAGAGUCCUGGUUGGCUUCCUGGCCAGGGCGGGCGCCCAAGGGGGGUGGGCGGCCGCCCAGCUCCCGAGCCCGAAUCGCGUCCCGUUCGUUCCCGUGGCUUCUGGAUCCUUCUAGAUUGAGGAAAAUUGCGCGGUACGUAAUUAUCUCGUUGUAAACAUGACAUGUCGGCCUUCUCUCUCUAUUUUCUGAUAAACCCCUGCAGAAAUAGAUAAACACCAAAACUCGUGGAAUUCUGUCAGAUAAAACCCUAAUUCUAGAUGUUUGUUUUAUAUUGAUCCUUUUUCAUGUUUAUUUGAUUAUUAAUUUUAGUACUUAAGGACCGUCAACAAACUCCACCAAGCUUACCCUUUGCUCGUCCCUGAGCAAACAGCUAAACUCAGACGGAUCAGGAGUUGCUUCGAUGUUUUCUUUCCUGACAGGCACACAUGCUUUUACAUAAAAAUUCUUCCAGAUUAGAGUGAAGUGUUAUGGAGUUUAGUACCUGCACUUAAAUCUUAAGUAAUUGAAAGACAAAAUAGUUAAGUCAAGCACUAUCCCUCCUGUCUAUACUUCACUUUUGUUCUAGAGUUUUGUCAUAAGUUUUCAAAAUAAAACUCAGAGUUCCCAGCAAUAAUCUCUUAAGUCUCUCUAUAUGUGGUAUUUGUGGAUCCUUACCAUAAUGUCACUUACCUAUAGCUAAUGGAAUAUUUAAGUGGAGCUCAUAGGAGUGGAAAACAGCUCAUACAUAUGUUGUCUAAUCGAGCCAUGGAUCCAAAGGAACUCAGCAUAUAAUUAAAUCAAGAUGUGCAUGUGUGAUGGAGUAAAUGAUAGUGAUGGUGAAAAUGCAUAACUGAUAAUAAAAUUUACUUCUCAUUGCUCCUCAUAUUGCUAUCUCUUUUCUUCUUUGAUCUUUGCUUUGGGAGAACAUGGGCUAUCUGUUUUUCUUCUUUUUUUUUCAGGUGGGUAGUGGAUACCCCUAAUUCUACUGUCGGACACUUGUCCAUUUUUUCCGCUCAAGUGCGCAUCUUUGUACCCCUAAUUCUACUUCGGACACUUGUCCAUUUUUACCUCUUGUCUCACUCUUUUUCUUUCUUUUUCGAGGUUCCGGGCACUUGCCCCUUUUUAUUUCCUCGCAUAUUUUUGCAUAACCCAUGCCUCUUCUGCAUUGAAUCUUUUUAGAGAGAGAGAAUAACAAUAUUUGGGACAGUGAGUGAUAAUAUAUUUUUAGCAAUUUUAAUGAUUGAUGAUGAAUGCUGUGGUAGAUGUGUGCAAGUGAAUAUCUUAAUUUAACCACAUGAAAAGCUCCUAAGGGUCUACAUAGCUCGAUCAAACUCAAUGUGAAUAUAGUGAAAGAUGUUAUAGCAAGUAUGGCUGUGGUAGGUAAUUUUGUUAUGCUAGGAACUCAUCAUGUGAUUUGUAAGUUUUCAAAAUAAAUCUCCAGAACUUAGUGUAGUAGAAAUAGGAUAAACAGUAGCUCAACUUUAUAUCAUGCCUUUCUUUUACCUGGACUUUAGUUUUAUGCUUCCCAAAGAUAGUAGUUUUAGUUUUAGUAAUUCCUGGAAGAAUUCUAAUAUAAAAGCUAGGUGCUUGUAAGUAAGCAAACAGAGCAACUAUUCAUCAUUUCCAUCAUGUAUAUUUUUGGUCUUUUUAUUUUUCUAGAGAUUAAACUUAGCAGAAAAAAUAAAACACACUUAUCUACACACUCUUUUUAUUUUGUUUUCGUGUUUAUAAAGUGCAGUAAAUUAAAGCAAGAAAAUAUUUAUUUGGUUUUCUAAAUUUUCCUUUUAAGGUAAAUUAAAUACUAGAAUAAAAAAGAAUAAAUAAGAAGAGCAAAUAAAAACUUACUCGAUAAAUUUGGGAGGAACUCCCCCAAGCUCGAUGUUGACGUCGGUCUUACCCGAUGUUCCAGAACCGCAUCAUGGUUGUGAUGUUGUCGUUCAUUGUUGUUGUAUCUUGUCUCAGCUCUUCUACUGCAGCGGCAUGGUCCUGGUUCCAUUUUUGUUGCUUUUCUAGGAGUCUUCCAUGUUCUGCUUGCGUGUUCUGGAUGUCGAGGAGGGUGUUGUCGGUACGAGUGAAGAAAGCACCGGCCUCUUGAUAGUAAUCAUUCGUGAAGGCGUAGGAGGCGUCGGAGUAUCGUCCUGCAUCAAAUUGGGGUGGAGGUCUGGAUCCUGAAGCUCCAUAUGGAUCAGUGGAGUACCUGCCCAUAUGAAAAGGCGGGUUUGUCCACUGGUGAUCUUGGCUCUCCGGCCAUGUCUCCUCUGUUGGCUCUUGUGGUUGCGCAUGACGAGCCCAUGGGUCUCGAAGGACUCGUGGAUUGUAAUCGCAAUAAUGCAGGUGCGCUGCUUCUUCUGGUCCAAGGUCAGCUCCAUACCAGGUGCGUUCUCGGUGAGUGGUUAUCCUUUCAGAUGCCACUCGCUGUGGAGUUCUCUGGUUCACUGGUGUUGCUGCAAUCUCAAUCAAAAAGUUUUGCACAGAGUAGAGGCCAAGGUUCGGGUUAGGUAACCGAAUCUUGCCUUUAUCAUCAUACAGCAUAUACAUUAUAUUCCCCUCUUUCUUUAACAUCCGAGCUUGUCUAAAUGUGUCAUAGCCAUGAUAAAUUCUUAAUUCUUCUAUGAAGUCCAACGAUGAGUUUUCUAGUAAGUGAAGAUUAGUGGCUAGACGAGUGAUAAGUGAAGUACAUCCUACUGGUCCCUGAAGACUAGGUAUACUAAGCCAAUGUGAAACUAAUAGUGUAACAGGUGAAGUGGGUACUUUACUAAUAGCAGCAUAUAAAAGUUGUAAAUCUCCUACUCUUACUUUCCUAAUAUCAUCAUGAUAGAAAAAGAUUGUACCCAAGCCAUUUGUGAAACAUCCUAAGAGUGGGGUGUUCCAUGUCACUGGUUCGGGCUUGACUAUAAAAAUUAUCUCUAGAUAUUUCUCUCCAAAACUGGUGUCUCUCAAAAUUGGGUAAAUCGGAGUCAAUGUUCAGGAUGCACCUUGAAGAGAAACCAAGAUGGUCGCUCAGCUCUCUCCAAGAUAACAUGAUUUCCUGUUUGAACAUCCGAAAAACAAUUCCCCCCUCAUAGUAUUGUAAGGUGCAAAGAAAUUCGAGGGUGAGAAGACGAGAACCCAGCUCAGUUAUAUUCCAAAAAUUUGUCCAACCCAUCAUUUGAAAAAUUAAGUCAAAUUCAGUGUCCAUACCUGUUUCUUGUAGUAGGAUUGUGUUGAUGCAAAACUGAUCUGCAAACACAAAGGGCUAAUACCCGAUUCAAACGUUAAGGCGUGCCAGCCGAUUUGACCUUGCUAUCGGCAAAGGUGAUAACUCGAAUACUUUAGUCCUGACAACAGCGAUGCGCCCGGAUGUCACGGCUAAGAGGUACUCACGCGGAACUUGAGAACACGCCGAGCUUAAGUCGACGAAUUCCUAAGAACUCGUAACAAAAGGAAAAAGUAUGACGAAGUCGUCGAAAAGUAAAUGCUGGAAUAUGAGUAAAAACGUGUGUUUGAUUCAUUGAUUGAUUUUUUAUUACAAGGCCCUAGGGUCUAUAUUUAUACCCUGCUCAAAGAGCUACAACCAGACACGAUUAGAAUUCGAAUUCCAAAUUACACGGAAUCCGUAUACAAAACGAUGCAAAUAAUUAAGGAAAUAACAAAACUAUCCCUCGUGACAAACCGAAACUCCUCCACAUAACGACCGGCAGCUUCCGGACUCCCUCUUUGCAUCAUCGGCAGACCCUUUGCCAUAGUCAUCGGCAGACUUUCUUAUCUAGCCAUCGGUACCAUAUUACUGCCUGUGGACUUAGUCACGUUCAACUUCUCCCUCAUCGGCAACCAUCCUCAUCGGCAACCCACUUUGUAAACAUCGUACUGCCACCUUAUCCUGCCAUCCUAGACACGUGCCCAAAAACGGUGUCAACACAUGCCCCCCAGUUUCGGAGUAUAAAACUAUUAAUGCUCCGAAAUUCUCUGCAGUAAUGAUGCCUUUUCCCGCAAUUAAUGCUCCUAAUCUGGUAACCGACAACCUCAAUCUGAACAACUCUGAUCCUAUUCCUCCGCAGAUUCCUCGAAAUCCCCAACUUCCUAAACGGGCAUUUUUCUCAGUCGUACAUCGGCAACAAUACCGUUACAAAGAUCUGCCGAUGUUCUGACCAGGAUAUUCGCACAAACGGUUACUUCCCCUCUAUCCGCCCAUCGGCAAUAUGACCGUUAUAGAAUAUUGCCGAUGGACCGACCAGGAGAUCUCGCACAGUAAAAUAUCUUCAGAUAAUGACCGCUUCCCGUCAAAUCACCUGCACAAUCCCUGGAUUACCGUGCGAACAGUUACCAUAUCCACCUGAGUACCCUCGGAUUUCUCGGAUGCGGCAAAGAGAUAAGUCGGAUUUGCCCUUGCCCAUUUUGUCCUAUAAAUAGUUCCUUCUUGGGUACUCCUUCCCCAUCACACCAUUCUACUACCCAACUUUACUUUUCCAGCGGCGGCGCCACCAAAAACUUCUAAGGUCUCCGACAAGUACGCCUCUUCACCAACUCCGGCGCCUUCACACGCUUCCUUCGCAGCAAGAUGGCCGUCGGGUUCGUCGUCCCUGAGGUCAAAUCUCCACCCCGUCUUCUGUAUUUUUCUUCAUAUCCCUGUUCACUCGCAAUUCUUUUACUGAACAUCUUCCUUUUCUUUCCUCUUUGUAUUUCUUUUUACGCCCAAAAUCAGUAGGAAUUGUCCAACAAAAUUGUCAUCCCCACCGAUCAACCACACCUUCAAUGCCUCGGCCCUCUAGGGGACCCAGAUCCAACUGACCUUAUCAACGCAGAAACCAACAGGAUCCCCUUCAGAGCCGAAAAUUUUUCCUUAGAUCUGUGGAAGGACACCUUCCGCUCUUGGCCCAGCCCAACUGUAGGGUGUAAAGACUGGUUCUUGAGGGUCAGCAACUCUAAUGAAGUUCAGUGGGGUGAAAGGAAUCUAGCCCAAUGCAUUAGAUUGUCCAUUGCCGAUAUGCAUAGGAACGAGUCACUGCUGAUAGUUGCAUCCUACUUUUGGUCAGACACCCUCAAUGCUUUUGCCUUUGGCCACGGCCCUGCUUCUCCUACUCUUGCCGAUGUAGCCAUGCUUACUGGUCUAGAUAUAUCUUCUGCCGAUAGCACCCACUUUUUUGAUACUGCCCCUAGUGCCAAAGUGGAGACUCGCGCUAUCGGCGGUUGGUCGGGGUACAUUCAGAAGUACCGUGGGAAAGGAUCUGUCACCAUAAGGGAACAAACCACCUUUCUGAACAUGUGGCUGGACAAGUUUGUAUUCUGUGGUCGAUCGGCAGGACCGACUUCUGUCUACCUAUCGGCAGCAGAAAGACUGGCUAACGGUGGCCGAUUCCCUCUCGGCGAUACUUGCUUGGCGCUGUUUACCACCUUCUCCAUCAAGUAGCCCAGAAACUUCUGCUCGGCCAAUCCACUGGCAACUUGGGAGGCCCCUGGUGGUUUGUCAACAUGUGGCUCAAUCUGCAUCUGCACAAGCGUCUCAACUUCAACCUGUUCACACAGCGUUUCCCAAGAGAUAUAGCUGAAAACCAUGUAUUGGGUGAAGAGGAAUCGGCAACACGCGCCCCCUUGAACUUUGGCGAAGCUGUCAUAGUUCUGCCUGCUUGAGGGGGUAAUCCAGAUCAGAUCGGCCGAUUCUUCUAGACUCUGUAUGAGGGUUUGACCAGAGACGAACGACCAUGGUUGGCUUAUGAUGACCCAGAUAGCAUGCUCCCUCUGACCUUCAAUCCAUUUGAUGAAGCUCUCGACAGGGACAAUGAGGUGAUGAUGGCAAUUGUGACUCCCAGAAUCAUUCCAGUGAAUUUCUUUGGUAGCACAAAAACCUCCCCUCAAACUUACGAAUUUUACAAUCCAUCGGCAUUAGCUCGCCAGUUAGCUUUCGGCCAGUUGCCGAUUGCACUUCCUUAUGCCGAUGUGAUAAAACCCAGAGAAACUAUCAACAACCUUCUUGAGUGGACUCGAGCAGCCCAACUACCACCAAACGCCGAUAUAGAUGUAGAUCUGUCAGAAUGGGUUCCGGCUGCUUUUAUCACUCAGGCAUACAAGUUAUGGUGGGCAGAAUGGAAAGAGCAUCUAUUCUGCAGAUCGGCACUUUCAUACUGCGGCAUGAUUGACUCCGAAUACGAAGUUCCCGAUGACACUGUAAGUAACUCAAACCAACGUUUCAUUUUCUCAAUAUUACCUCCAUCGGCAGCUUACCCUUGUAUUCCUUUUGCAGGUUGACAAUAUUCCUCCAUUGGUUAGCAGGAGUGGCAGGCCGAUCGACUUGUUUCCAUCAGGCCCGAUUUCCUCAAUCGGCCACAAUGCUCCCACUCUAGCUUCCAUCGUGCAUCGGGGUGUACGCCUCAGGAAAGUCACCACCAGAAGAACCCAGACAUCACCAACGGUUGCUGCUCCCACUCUUGCGCGGGCUUUCAAGGCAAUUUGUCAAAUCUUUUCCUUUAUGCUGACUAUCUUUAUAUCGGCUAUAUUUAUGCUUAUAAACUCUUGUUCAUUAUUGCAGCAAACCGGCGCAUCGGCGAAAGCCAGGUGUGAGAGUACCGAUGCCCCCCAGUCUAGCCAACCCAAGAGAAAGGGCACCACGGGUGCUAAGACUGGAACAAAGCGCCAGAAGGUAGCAAAUCCCCCUCCUCCUCCGGUAUCUCCAAUUCCGGUGGAGUCUUCUCCUUCUUCUCCAGAAGCCCAGCCACAGCAAGCACCAUCUCCCCCACCUAUGCAGGAAGCACCACAGAUAGAAGAACCCCAACAGGAAGGAUCUCAAACAGAAGAUGCAUCAGCUGACAUGGGUGAACAAACAACUGGCCCGGUGGGUCCAGUUAUACCAUCGGCAGUUCUCCCGAUUCAGACAACCGUUGUCCCUCCUCUAGGUAACAUACUUUAACAAUAUCGCUACCGAUGAACUUAUUCUUAUUUAGUCUCAUAACUCCUUUUGUCUUCUUUCAGUUGAUAUCGUUCCAUCGGCAAUCUCAGCCGAUCAACCUGUAGCUCCAUCGGCAUCUUUGGCCGAUCAGCCUGCAGCUCCGUCAGCACUUCUCAGUCAAAGACAAGAGAUCGCCUUGAAGCAAGUAAGUCACCGCUUACCGUUAGCACUAUUUGCCGAUUCUCUGAGUAUGAGCUAAUUUUGCUUUCCCUCCCAGGAACAAGAUUCUCCCGAUAGCCUGUUCUCCUUCGCCAUCGAUCUCUCUGAAGAAGAAGGUGAAGAAGCAAGCUCUUCUCAGACGGUCGGCAUCACAUCGGCAGAGAUCAGGGUCAGGCUGGAAGAAUUGUCAGCUCUCCUUCACCAGGACACAGCGCAAUUGGUUGAUGAUUCCGACCCUACCAAGACCCUGUUCAGAACUCUCAGAGGCCAAAUCCCAGCCGAUGUUGAAGAAAUCCUGUUCCAAGCCGCUCAUCUGGAGAGUCGCCAGCUGCAGUACCAAAGAGCUUCUCGGCGGCUUGCCGAUAGAGUCGCUCAGACUCAACUCUCCGAUGAAAUGAGGAAAGAGAAGCUUUUGACCGAUGAGAAGCACAAGAACAUCGGUAUCCUGAGAUCUUCUGGAGACGCGCUGAAGCAGAAGAUAUCCGAUCUAUCGGCAAGAAAAGAAUCCCUGUUGACGGAGCUCAAGGAAGUAGAGAACGCUCUGUCCCAAGCCCAACAGGAAGAGAGCCAAUUGCCAGAGACCAUCAGGCUUCUUGAGCACGAGCGAAAUGCUCAUGGUCGCAAGGCACUUCAACUGAAGAAGCUGAAGCCGAUAGAAGGUUUUGCCGAUGAUGACAUCAAGGAGAUAGAAGCAGCCAACCAAAUUCGGCUACGCGCUAUAUCGGCAAUCCAGACGCUGCUUAACACAUAGAGUUUCCAUCGGCAUUGUAUCUGCGCUUUCCUGCUUCCUCAGCUUUUAGUCUAGCCGAUAGGACUGUUAUCGGCACCUAAACUUUUGAAACACCAAGUGUUGUCCCCAAGCAUUUGGAUCCAGCCGAUAGGAGUGUUAUCGACACCUAAACUUCUAUGCAUCGACCCAUAUACUGGGGUAGUACUUCUUUAAAUAUUUGUCGUUUAAUGCUCUGGGAAAUUCAAUUCCUUCGAGGGUUUCUAGAAUGUAGGCAUUACCAGGAGCCGAUCGACUUAUCCGAUAAGGACCCUCCCAAUUAGGAGACCACUUUCCAAACUUUGAACUUUUGGUCCCAAUUGGUAAAAUUAAUUACCAUACCAAAUCCCCAUCGGCAAACUCUUUAGCCUUCACUUUCUUAUCAUACCAUCUAGCAACUCUCUUCUUAUUUUCUUCUAUACUCAUUAAAGCUUUUAACCGAUGCCCUGCUAGAUCGUCCAAUUCAUCGGUCAUCAAAGUGGCAUAACCAUCGGAAGUUAAUUGAUCUUGAAAAGAUAAUCGCCUAGAUCCAGCCUUAAUUUCCCAAGGCAACACUACAUCAUGUCCAUACACCAAUUGAUAGGGUGAUACUUUGGUCGAUCCAUGACAAGCCAUCCGAUAAGACCACAAUGCUUCAUUUAAUAAUGUAUGCCACCGCUUAGGAUUUUCUUCAAUCUUUCGUUUAAUAAGCUUGAUAAUUCCUUUGUUAGACGCUUCGGCCUGCCCAUUGGCUUGAGCAUAACAAGAAGAGGAAUUCAACACUUUAAUUCCCAUACCGAUUGCGAAUUCAUCGAACUCCCCCGAUGUGAACAUGGUGCCCUGAUCGGUAGUAAUCGUUUGGGGAAUCCCAAAUCGGUAAAUAAUAUGCUCCUUCACAAAAUCAAUCAUAUUGGCCGAUGUGACUUUCUUCAAAGGAAUAGCUUCAACCCACUUAGUGAAAUAGUCAGUGGCAACUAGAAUGAACUUAUGCCCUUUGCUAGAUGGUGGAUAAAUCUGGCCGAUCAGAUUGAUGGCCCAUCCCCGGAACGGCCAAGGCUUUAUUAUAGGAUUCAUAGCCGAUGCGGGUGCUCUCUGGAUAUUACCAAACUUUUGACAACCUUGACAUCCCUUGAAAUAUUUAAAACAAUCUUCAAGUAUGGUUGGCCAAAAAUAUCCAUUCCUUCGAAUCAUCCACUUCAUCUUAAAAGCUGACUGAUGCGCUCCACACACUCCUUCAUGGAUUUCCCCCAUCAAACUUCUAGCUUCAUCAUCACCCAAGCAUCGGAGAAGAAUUCCGUCGAUAGUUCGAUAAUACAAUUCAUUUUCAAGGAGCACAUACUUGGUUGCUUGAAAUCGAACCCGUCUUUCAACUUUUUUGGAUGGAUCUUUUAGAUAAUCAAUAAUUUCUUUCCUCCAAUCACCGGCACCGACUGCCGAUGUCGCAUUAAUCAUUGGCUGAUAUCCCGAGGCAUGCUGAGCUAACCGAUUAGCGUCUUCAUUAUGCAAUCGGGGAACAUGCUCCAAUCGGAAAUCCUUGAAUUCCUUUAACAGUUGCAUACUUCUCUCGAAAUAAGUUAUGAGAACUUCACUUCGGCAUUCAUAGCUUCCGGCCAGUUGAUUUAUAACCAACAUAGAAUCCCCGAAUAUUUCAACAGCAUCAGCACGAACUUCUCUUAACAACUCCAAUCCCUUGAUCAGAGCCUGAUACUCAGCCUGAUUAUUUGUUGAUGUGGCAACAAUCGGCAAGGAAAACUCAUACUUCCUCCCCUUAGGGGAAACUAAUACAAUGCCGAUUCCUGCCCCCCGGUCACAGGUAGAUCCAUCAAAGAAGAGCGUCCAGGGUACAAUUUCCAAGGUUUCCACUAGACCGCAAUGCUGAGUCACAAAAUCGGCCAUAAUCUGCCCUUUGACUGCCUUAGCCGAUUCGUAACGCAAAUCGAACUCCGACAGCGCUAAAAUCCAUUUACCGAUCCUACCACUCAUAAUCGGCAUAGACAGCAUGUAUCGGACCACGUCAUCUUUGCAAACAACAGUGCAUUCGGCCGAUAACAGGUAAUGUCUCAGCUUGAUACAUGAAAAAUAUAAGCAUAAGCAUAGUUUCUCAAUGGCCGAAUACCUGGUUUCAGCAUCAAUCAACCUCCUACUCAAAUAAUAAAUUACCCUUUCUUUCCCUUCAAAUUCUUGAACUAAAGCUGAACCGAUAACCGAUCCAUCGGUAGAUAAAUACAAUUUGAAGGGCUUCCCUUGUUGAGGUGGAACUAGAACUGGAGGAUUUACUAGAUACUUCUUGAUUUCAUCCAGAGCCAACUGCUGUUCUUCUCCCCAAAUAAACUCUUGAUCGGCUUUCAAUUUAAGAAGAGGACUGAAAGCACGAAUCCUACCAGACAAAUUCGAUAUAAAUCUCCUGAUAAAAUUUACCUUGCCGAUCAAGGAUUGGAGCUCGGUUUUGUUGGUAGGGGCCACUAUUUUAUUGAUGGCAUCAAUAGAUCUUCGACUAAUUUCAAUACCCCUCUGAUGUACCAUGAAACCAAGAAACUGCCCUGCCGAUACACCAAAUGCACACUUGUUGGGAUUCAUCUUCAAUCCAUGCUUCCUUGUGCACUCUAACACUUUUUGUAAAUCGGCAAGAUGCUUUGAGAAAUCUCCAGAGUUAACCACCACAUCAUCAAUAUAAAUCUCCACGAGCUUGCCGAUGAACUCAUGAAAUAUAAAAUUCAUAGCCCUUUGAUAGGUAGCACCAGCAUUCUUCAACCCAAAAGUCAUGACUAUCCAUUCAAAUAGCCCAACAUGACCAGGACACCUGAAUGCGGUUUUUGGAAUAUCCUCCUCCGCCAUGAAUAUUUGAUUGUAACCUGCAUUACCAUCCAUGAAGCUGAUGACCUGAUGACCAGCCGCAGCAUCAACCAGUAGAUCGGCGACAGGCAUUGGGUAUCCAUCCAUCGGCGUAGCUUUAUUGAGAUUCCUGAAAUCAAUGCACACCCGAAGCUUCCCGUUCUUCUUGUAAACCGGAACAACAUUGGAAAUCCACUCGGCAUACCGACACUGCCGAAUAAACUUAGCUUCAAUAAGUUUGGUGAUUUUGGCCUUAAUACCAGGUAGAAUGUUAGGAUUACAUCGGCGGGCUGGUUGCUGAUGUGGCCGAAAUCCAAACUUGAUGGGUAACCGAUGUUCAACAAUUGAUCGGUCUAAACCAGGCAUCUCGGUAUAAUCCCAAGCAAAGCAAUCUUUAUAUUCCUUUAACAAACUAGUCAAUUGUUGCUUACUCUCAUGAUCUAAUUUAGCACUAAUAAAAGUAGGCCUAGGCUUAUCACCACUACCUAUAUCUACUUCUACCAAAUCAUCGGCCGAUGUGAAUCCCUGGCCUAAUUUUCCAUCAUCGGCGAAUCUAUCCAUUAAAAACCGUCGUCAGAACCGACUGCUUGGAUCGGUGGAAUCUCAUAAUCGGCAACUUUGAGAAAAUCUUUCUCCCAAACUUCUCCUGAAAUGCACCUGGUCCUUUCGUAAGUAUCCGCUUCUGCCGAUGCGAUAACAUAAGAAGAAUCUCCUGGGACAAUCUCAAUCUUGUCACCUACCCACUGAACCAAGCAUUGAUGCAUUGUAGAUGGGAUACAACAAUUGGCAUGAAUCCAAUCUCUUCCCAAUAAUAAGUUGUAAGCACCUUUUCCGCUGAUCACGAAAAAAGUUGUCGGCAAGGUUUUGCUGCCGAUGGUCAACUCUGCACAUAUCGCCCCCUUGACUGGAGACACGUUUCCUUCAAAGUCUUUGAGCAUCAUAUCGGUCUUGGUCAAAUCUUGAUCCCCUUUCCCAAGCUUCCGAUAUACUGCAUACGGCAUAAUAUUAAUAGCAGCUCCACCAUCAACUAGGAUCUUGGUCAUUGGCUGCCCAUCAACCCUUCCUUUGAGGAACAGAGCUUUAAGAUGCUGCCUCUCGUCAUCGGCAGGUUUCUCAAAGAUAGCCGUCAUCGGAUCCAGAGCCAACUGAGCUAUCUGAUCAGAAAAUUCCAACUCAUCAUCACUGGCUGGUGCAAGAAACUCCAUCGGCAACAUGAAGACCAUGUUGACGCCUGCCGAUGGACCUUCCCUCUUAGUGUCUGACGGCUGCCGACUUCCAGAGUUCUCUCCCUUGUUUAGCUCUUCUUGCCUUUCACGUUGCAAUCUCCUUUUCUGUGUCUUGGUUAAUCCUCCAGGGCACCAUGGAGGAAGUGGCCUUUGCCUUGCCGUCGGGCGUCGGUUCUCCCUUGACUCCAUACGAUGCGUGUUAGCAUCCCUGCAAAAUAUGAAUUCAUCGGGAACCCGCGCAUCAGCCAUUUCCUCGAGCUCUUCUUGGUUCCUGGGAAAAUACUGGACACGGUCACUAAGUCUGUCGUGCCCACUAAAUCUGCCCCCCAGCCAGUCAUGAACUGACACCCUUCCUCUGAUCGGCCCAUUAAAUCGCCGUUCAUCAUCAUGAUAAUGCCGAUCGAUCCCAUCGUACCGAUCAUAACCGUUGCACUCAGGGCAGUCUCUGACAGUAGGAAGCUUGAUAUUUUCCUCCCAACAAUGGAUGAAGAAUGGACAAUUCCAAUGAUCCCUGUGCCGAUUCCACUCCUGUCGGCGUCUUUCUUCUUCCCGUCGAUAAUCUUCCUGCUGGCGCCGAUACCGAUCUUCCCGUUGUUGCCAUUUUUCUCGAGGCCUUCUAUGAGUUAUGACGAUACCAGAUCGAGGAGGCCUUCCUGAGCUAGUUCCUUCCUGGACCAAGCCCUUACUUCUUGCAUCGGCAGUAGUAACUUGAUGCUGAGGAUCUACCGAUGCACUCUUCUCAGCUGUCUACGAUGUUAAGACCUUAGCCUUCCCCUUAGCAUCCAACAUGUUUGUCGGGAAAGGAUGUUGGUCUAUCUUCAUCGGCUUCUGGGCUUUGGAACUGUCAAACUUGAUUCUCCCUGACUCUAUAGCCGAUUGCAGCUGCUGUCUGAAUACUUUGCACUCGUUGGUGUCAUGGGAAGUUGCAUUAUGCCACUUGCAAUAUCUCAUCCUCUUCAACUCUUCUGCCGAUGGGAUCACAUGGUUAGGCGACAGUUUGAUCUGACCUUCCUGAAGUAGAAAGUCAAAUAUCCUAUCAGCCUUAGCGGUGUCAAAAGCAAACUUCUCUGGUUCCUUCUGCCCAAAAGGACAAGACAUCGGCUUCUUGUUUUUUACCCACUCUGCCAAGCCGAUUACUAGUUCUUCAUCAGAAUCUGAGCUUGUUGCUUCAUCGACAAAUGACACUUUCCUAUUCCAUGCUCUUUUAGGCUCGAAAGGCUUGAUGUCUUGAUCAGAAAUCCUCUGCACCAAAUGACUUAAACUUUCGAACUCCUGAGAGGCAUACUUAUCCCUGAUAUGUGGCAACAAACCCUGGAAAGCCAAAUUGGCUAGCUGCCGAUCAUCCAGAACCAAGCUAUAGCAUUUAUUCUUGACCUCUCGUAUCCUCUGCACAAAACCCUCAACCGACUCAUCAUUACGUUGCCUCAACUUGACCAAGUUGGUGAUCUUCUUCUCAUGAACCCCCGAGAAGAAGUAUUUGUGGAAUUGCUUCUCUAGAUCGGCCCAAGUAAUUACUGAGUUGGGAGGUAAUGAUAUGAACCAAGUAAAGGCCGAUCCAGACAAUGAUGAUGAAAAUAGACGAACCCUCAAUUCGUCCCUGUUACCAGCCUCUCCACAUUGAAUGAUGAACCUGUUGACAUGCUCCAUGGUUUACGUGUCGUCCUGCCCGGAAAACUUUGUAAAAUCCGAUACCUUGUACCGAUGUGGAAGCGGGAUCAAAUCAUACGCGGGAGGAUACGGUGUCCGAUAAGAAUAAGUGUUGACUUUGGGUUUUAUCCCAAAUUGUUCCCUCAUUACUUCAGCAAUCUUAUCGGCCCAAUAUGCAUCGGCAUCUUGCCGAUGAGGCGGCUGCGGAUCUGGCACUUGGUGGCGAACCUCCACGUGUCUGUUCGGGACGUGAUCUGCACGGAACAUUGUAUUGAUCACCUGUCCUCCAAUCUGCGGACCACCAAACUGUUGUCCACCGAUUGGCUGUCCUCCGAGCUGUUGUCCAAAAUUCAUUGGCUGGUUGGGAAUCUCCUGACCUUGGAACCCGGGAUAGACCUGCCCUUGCUGGAACCCUGUAGUCUGGUAACUUUGCUGGGGCGAUUGUGGAAAGGCUUGCUGUCCAAGCCAUCCAUUAUUAGCGUUCAUCGGCAUAGGUGCUGCCGAUGAUUGGUAAUUGGGUACCGUCGUUGAAUUGACAUACCCCGACUGGGCCAAAGACCUCUGUUGCAUCAGCAUUGACUCUGCCGAUGCGUUGGGCAUCUGGAACAUUGAAUCUUGAGGAUUUCCAGUGUGAGGCCUUGCAGUAGUAGUUGUGGUAUACCGAGGACUCUGGUUCACCGGCGCAUUGGGAGGUGCCGAUGUCAUAGGAGUUUUGCCCCUCAUGUCAGUUAUUUGUGAUGUUCCCGGUGUCAACUCUGGAGGCAUACCGUAACCCCACCAGUUGGGAGGAAGAGUCAACCCUGACAUUGCCGAUGCCAACAUAUCUGUUGUCAGUUUAUGCUGCCCAACUGAAAUUUGUGGGUUGGUUGUCAUCGGCAUAGAUAGUGCACCAGUAGUCCCCGAUGUACUUGGAGGGACGGCAGAUUGUGCACUUGCAGUCGUCAAGGCAGCCGAUGGAGCCGUGACCUCUGGUGCCGUUGUCUGAUGAUGGGAGGGGCCCACAUAAUCUGGUGGGAUUUGUCCUUCCUUGAAAGUUCUUGCCACGGCAUUGAAAACCGUAUUAGACAGUACACCAGCUUGGUUAAUCAACGCUCGAUUGAUGGCAUUGUCAACCAUAUCUUGAAGCUUGCCAGGAUUGGCGUCAAAGGUAACCUGCCGUGGUGCCGGCAGUGCAUCUUUCUGGACCACUUCGCUGCUCCUGUUUAUGCUGAAAGACCUCAGGCAUUGCUGCUUGAACUCUUCCAUGGCUUGGGCAAUAGCUUGCUUCUGCUCAUCCUUGAGGUUGGCCUCCGUCACGGGGAUGACGUUCUCUUGAUCGAGGUCAGAGAUCGACAUGUUGAUCUUGAUCUUGAAUCCUGUCCCACUGGGCGUGCCAAAAGAUGUGUUGAUGCAAAACUGAUCUGCAAACACAAAGGGCUAAUACCCGAUUCAAACGUUAAGGCGUGCCAGCCGAUUUGACCUUGCUAUCGGCAAAGGUGAUAACUCGAAUACUUUAGUCCUGACAACAGCGAUGCGCCCGGAUGUCACGGCUAAGAGGUACUCACGCGGAACUUGAGAACACGCCGAGCUUAAGUCGACGAAUUCCUAAGAACUCGUAACAAAAGGAAAAAGUAUGACGAAGUCGUCGAAAAGUAAAUGCUGGAAUAUGAGUAAAAACGUGUGUUUGAUUCAUUGAUUGAUUUUUUAUUACAAGGCCCUAGGAUCUAUAUUUAUACCCUGCUCAAAGAGCUACAACCAGACACGAUUAGAAUUCGAAUUCCAAAUUACACGGAAUCCGUAUACAAAACGAUGCAAAUAAUUAAGGAAAUAACAAAACUAUCCCUCGUGACAAACCGAAACUCCUCCACAUAACGACCGGCAGCUUCCGGACUCCCUCUUUGCAUCAUCGGCAGACCCUUUGCCAUAGUCAUCGGCAGACUUUCUUAUCUAGCCAUCGGUACCAUAUUACUGCCUGUGGACUUAGUCACGUUCAACUUCUCCCUCAUCGGCAACCAUCCUCAUCGGCAACCCACUUUGUAAACAUCGUACUGCCACCUUAUCCUGCCAUCCUAGACACGUGCCCAAAAACGGUGUCAACAGAUUGGAUCGAUAGUAGGAGUGUGAAUGAAAUCCUUGUUCUUCAAUUGCUGAUAGACUUCCUUCUCUCUUCGGGUCUUCAGUCCAAGGUCUGCUAUCUUGAGAAGGACCUUGACUUGCUGACCUGAUGAAGAUGAUGGAGCUUGUGUGGGUGUCGGGUCGACGCUCAUCUCUGAUGGCUGUGAGGAGUGUCGGGUUGAACUCCUUGUACCAAUGUUCUUAAGAGCCUUCCCUGCAUUCUUCACCUUCUUAAACAUCCUGCAAACAAAAGUUGGCAAAAACACAACUGGUGGAAAAUGUGCGAUAAAAUGUUAGUGGUCAGCUGUCCGGAGUGUUAGUAGUCCAGGGGUUAAUCUUUCAAGUCAAGUUUUUAUUUUGGUAGACCCUUCCCCUAAACAACUUUUACUUCCGCUUGGACAGCGGGAUCACUAUUUGCUAGGUGACAAUCACUUUCUCAAAAGAACUCCAACCUUCCCUUCCACUCUCCUCUUUCUCUCUACUCUCUUCUCUUCACUACAAAAGCUCCUUCUCGGGAAACUGAGAUUUGUGUUGUUUUCUGAAGUGUGUGUGUGAAGAGAAGGGGAGCUGGAGGUGGCCUUUUAUAAGCUGAGCAGGGGACAGGGCGGGCGCCCUUGGUAGGUGGGCGGGCGCCCACUUGUGAUGCCCAUCCUGGGUGUGCCUCCUCCACUUGCUUCCUUGCUUUGAUCUCACGCAGAAUAAUGUUGUGUUGGUAGUGGUUGGACGGUGGAAAGAUGUCAGGUGAGUGGAAACAUAUUGGUGGAUGAAAUUAUAUGAUGGGAUGUAUGUGAGAUGAAGUGUAUGACAUGUGGGACCCAAAGAGUGUGGGUCAUGCUUCUAGAAGAUUUAUAUGAUUAAAUAUAAUGUAGGAAAAUCUAUGAGAAUCGAAACUUAUUGAAAAUGAUAUUGGAAAAUAUUUUUGUGCCCCCACAAUAAUUAAUAAAUAUGGGUUGUUACACACCACGAAUAUUAUUUAUCUGGGGCUUUUUUGAUUAUUAUAAUAAUGCUAUGAAUAAAUGUGACUAAUGCAAGAUUUAAUUAUGCAAGAAAUUAAAAAAAUAAUAAUGCGGAUAAAUACCGAUUUACCUCCCGGUGAGGGUUUGGGAUUUUUAGGUCCCCCAAGCUGGACCUCCAAUUCUUUUAAUCUUUUGAGUUUCCUUCCUCCGGAGAUGGUGUCUCCAGUGGUUCUUCGUGAACUUCCUUCACUGUAGAGUCUCUCUCUAAUCUGGGUUUGAAUGUGAAGUGUUCUUCUUGACCGUUUAUGUUGAACUUGAUUUUUCCCUUCCCGACAUCAAUGUGGGCAUUGGCAGUGCUCAGAAAUGGCCUUCCAAGGAUGAUGGAUACUUUCGAGUCAGGACUCAUGUCCAGUACUACGAAGUCUACUGGCACAAGGAAAUCUCUGAUCUUGACUGGAAUGUUCUCGGCGAUGCCCAACGGGUGUCGAACCGAUUGAUCCGCUAGUUGUAGGCACAUUGAUGUUGGUUCUAAGGUUGCAUGCUCAAGCUUUUUGUAGACUGAUGCUGGCAUCACACUGACACUUGCUCCGAGAUCACAAAGUGCAUUGUUGAAGUGUUGGUUUCCGAUCGAGCAAUCAUCCGACUGCAGUCCUCUGUUUCUUUUGGGAAAUGGCAAAUAGUUGGUGUCGUAAAAAUCUUUCCUCAUUUCUCUAGUUCUUGGUGGUUGUGGCAGAUCUUCUGCUUCAACUGGGCUUUCUUCUUCUAUCACUGCUGGUUGCACUGGUGCUGAUGUUCUUUGUUUCUCUUUUGGGUAUGGUGGAUCUCUAGUAGCUUUACCUCCUCUAGUAGUUAUAUUCUUUACCUGCUCAAUGUUAGUAGCAACAGGUAGUGCAGCAGCUAACUUUAUUAAUUUAAGCUCUACCCUUUUAUUAAGAGUGUUUUGCUAAUCAAAGGCAGUUAGUAGAAAAUCCAUUUUAUUGUGUAUAUCUUUUAGAGAUGAUUCAUUUGUAUCUAGCCUUUGUUUAACUUCAUCAUUAAUUUUGGUUUGUUGAGCAAUUAUCUCUUUUAAUGAAAGUUGCUUGAAAGUAUUACCUGAAUUCAUACCUUUGCUAUUGGGUUUACUCGAAGUUGGUUGAUAUUUGUAUGCUGUCUCAAUGGCCCUUUGAUCUUCUUUGAACUUGGCCCUCUGGUCAAUCCAAUGGAGCAAAUUUUCCAUCUUACUCGAUAACGCAUUUACUUCUUCUGGUAUUUCUUCAGUUUGAUGACAUUGUUGAGCUUUAUCUUGGAACCAGCUUUGGUUUUCUACUAUCUUAUCCAAAAGUAUCUCUGCUUUUCCAGUUGUAAGCUCCAAGAAUGAUCCUUUAGCAGAUGCAUCUAGGCACUCACGAGCCUUCUGGGUUAAUCCAUGGUAGAAGGUCUGCAUAAGUAACCAUGUGGCCAUUCCAUGGUGAGGACAAUCUGAUAUGUAUCCUUGAAAACGCUCCCAUGCUUCGGAAAUGGCUUCUGUCUUCUGCUGUUGGAAACUGACAAUAUUUCCUCUUAAGGCAGUUGUUUUGCCUAUAGGGAAAAACUUUGAUAGAAAGGCAUCUGACAAGUUCGUCCAGUUGUUGAUGUUAUCUUGAUGAGUGUAGAACCACUUCCUCGCUUUCCCUUCUAGUGAGAAUGGAAAAAGGCGAAGUAGUAUGACGUCUUUGUCAACUUCGUUGAUGUGGAUUGUGCUUCCAAUCUCUAAGAAAUUCUGCAAGUGUGCACUGGCAUCUUCAUGUGCCUUUCCACUGAAUUGUGUAGCUUGCACCAAAUUGAUGAGGCUUGACUUGAGCUCAAACUCAGGUAUUCCUUCUUCUACUGCAAAUCUUGGACCAGUUGGAAUGUUCUCAAGGCUUGGAGCAGAGAAUUCUUGCAAGGUCUUUUGUGCCAUAGCUUCAGCAAUUGGUAGCUAGCUUCUUCUUCUCUUGAUUGCUUUGGUUCUGAUGAUGGAGAGUUGAAUGUACCCAAAGUCAAUCCUGUUAUACCCUGUAUAAAAAUAUAAACAUAGAAAAACAACAGGGUGAACCUGCCAAAGCAGCGGUGCCUUGUUAUGAUUUCUCACUUAGUAGCUGUUUUAUGCAAUUAUUUCUCUAUAGUCUAGUCUAAUAUUUUAUAUGAAUAACCUUGAUUGAUUUUCUAGCUUUCCUUAAUAUUAUCCUUUUGUUCCCUUUUAUGACUUAUUCCUGAGACUCGUAUAAUUCCUAUAAGAUCCUAUAAAUUCCUAUAAUUCCCCGGCAACAGCGCCAGAAAUGCUUGUUGACACUAGCUAACACCACUUAGAUACUAGGUUGUCAUCCCUAGCAUGGCGCCAGAGUGUACAAAGGUAUUUAUAAAUGUAAAGGCUCUCUGGAAAAUAAUCUAUUCUAUGCGCAAGCGCAUAGAUAAAACACCUCAUUGUAGCAUUUCACUAGGAUAAGUAUUCCAGGUAUCGUUAUUUAUAAUUUUGCUCAAGGGAUCUAAAGAAGAUGGAAUUAAAUCAAGGGACAAAAUCUAUCAAGGCAUAGACUAGAGAUAAACUUGCAAGAACAUGAUUACUAAUGAGAAACUCGUCACACAGUCACUUACUGUAGCAGGGGGUAAACCAUAAAGAUAAUGAUAAUAAAGUAUAAGUUCAUGGGUAGAUAGCACAGCGAUUAGAAAAUAGACUACUCCUCAUAUAUGUAGGUGAUGUCGGAUUAGCUAGAGAAUGGAUUCUAAGUUAUCUACUAACUACUAAGUCAUAAUCUACUCUAGUUAUCUACAAGAUCAUACAUAGCAUAAAAGACUCUUCAUUCAUGUAUAAGGAACAUUGAUAAAGUAAAUCAGAGCAUCGCAUGACUUACUCCACAAUACCGGUUCUGCCUGUCCUAUCAACGGAGGGUGGACUAUAUAAGAAUCAACGAAGCUGUCACUAUCGCGAACUACCACACGACCCGGCCAAUAGGAUACAUUUGCCGAUAAAUAACAUCUAAGCACCACGCUCACAUGUGAUCUAUCACCUAACUCCCUCGCGUCAAGAGCUAAGCGCUUUGCAAACUUAUACAUAAACUCAUUAUCAAUUAGAACUAUAUCAAAUAUAGAACUAGAGCAAACUAAGAACAUAAUAAUUAGAGACAUAAUGCAAUUAGAACAAUAGAAUUAGAGAAAGAUAUGAAUAAUACCAAUCUUUAUUACCGAAGAUCCGAAUCCAGAGCGUAGGUGCUCUACUUCUCUAAUUGCUAUCUAAUCAAACCUCUAAACUUGAAGGAUUAGGGAGUAGCUAAUUCUAAUUCUCUGUGGGAGAGAAGCUCUAAACCCUAACUUUGAUGGCUACCUCUGAAUAAUGAUUUCUCCUCUCUCCUCCAGGGGCCAGGGGGUCUCGUUUUAUAGUCCCCUCAAGUAAACGUGAGCCAUUGGAUCAAACCGACAUAGAUUGUAUGGUUUAGAUUGAUCCUUUAGGUCGGUGGAGAGUUGUCCCGAAGCAGAGUCCUGGUUGGCUUCCUGGCCAGGGCGGGCGCCCAAGGGGGGUGGGCGGCCGCCCAGCUCCCGAGCCCGAAUCGCGUCCCGUUCGUUCCCUUGGCUUCUGGAUCCUUCUAGAUUGAGGAAAAUUGUGCGGUACGUAAUUAUCUCGUUGUAAACAUGACAUGUGGGCCUUCUCUCUCUAUUUUCUGAUAAACCCCUGCAGAAAUAGAUAAACACCAAAACUCGUGGAAUUCUGUCAGAUAAAACCCUAAUUCUAGAUGUUUGUUUUAUAUUGAUCCUUUUUCAUGUUUAUUUGAUUAUUAAUUUUAGUACUUAAGGACCGUCAACAAUAGCAUAAUCAUCAAGUAUCAUAAUUAUGGAUAAUCAUCAGAGCAUCUACUAGUCAUAAUCAAAGUUAGCCAUUGGAUAAACUAGGGAGUUAGAUCUAAGGUAAUUCUAUAACUACAUCAAUGAGUAAAUUUAAUUAGUGCAAUUACAUCUAGAAAUCAUUGUUAAGUUAACCCUACAUCAUAAUCACAUAUAAAGAGGCAUCAACUAAUGAGGGUAUUAAGACACUAGGGUCACCUCCUUUGCGACUGUGCCCAUGCUAGUCCUACGUACGGAGAGUGGACUAUAGAGGAACCAACGCAGCUAUCACCUGCGCGGACUACGACACGUCCCGACAUGUCACGGUGCACUCGUAGAUAAACAAUAUAUCUAGACACCAUGUCUACAUAUUGUCUACCAUCUACCCAACGAUCGAUUAGGUAAACAUUAUAUGAGCAAUUACAUUAAUUCAAUAAGAUCAAACAAACUAUCCUAGACAUAUAAUCAAACUAGACAAAAACGAUUGCAAUUAAGAAUAUAUGAAUCUAUUAAGAGUAAAGUCUCCCUAAUAUAUAUAAUGAAUACAAUAAAGUAAGAACUAGAUCUAUUACCGAACUCUUGUGCUCCAAACCGACGCUAGGGCUCCAGAUCCUGAUGAAGAACUAGAUCUCCUCUACUUCUAAUCUAGCUAACUAGAACUAUGAACUAGAAGGCUCUUGAUAAACUAGAAGGCUCUUGAUGCUUGAUGGCUUGAGGCCUUGAUGAAUAAUGAAUUGCCUCCUCCUAGGAGGGUCUACCCAUGUAUUUAUAGUCCAAUGGGAUGCACGUGCGCCACAGGAUCAAACCGACGUAACCAAGAGCUGAGAUGCAUCAAGAGACGUGGUGGAGGAACAUUCCAGAAGGGGGGCCGCAACCCUAAGCCUAGGGCGUCGCCCAGCCCCACGUGGCGGCGCCCUGGCCCUAUAUUGCUUCGAGUGUCUUCUAGAUGGUUCCUGAGUUUUCCCGUGAUGUUUCUCAGAGAGGAUAAGUUUCGUGUUUAUCUUGCACUUGAAUCUCUCUUUUCAGCUUUUCUGAAAUAAACCCUGGAAAAUACAGAAUAUGCAAAACUCAUGGAAAUCGUUAGUUAAAACCCUAGACUAGUGUGUUUUCAUGUUUUCUUUUGGGUUUAAUUUUCUAAUAAAUUUGACGUUAACCACCAUCAACAAUUUCCCCAAGCUUACCUUUUGCCAGCCCCUUGGCAAACAAACUAAGCCUAAUUGUUAUUGUAUUUGGAUUAGGAGUUUUUACAAUAUUAUUAUACUUUCAAGUACACAUGCUCUCAAACAAGAAUUUCCUCCGGAUCAAACGAUGUAUGCUCUAACCUUCAAACUUACUCAUUUCACCUGUAAUAUGCGGCUUCACAGCUUUUGCUUAAGUGUUGAGCAGUCGAAAGAUAGAACAAUCAAGCUAAGUACUAUGUCUCAAAUUCUUUGCUAUACCACUAUUCUAGAGUUUUUCAUAAGGUUUCAAAAUAAAACUCACAGCUUAAUUGUAUGACACCCUCAAGUCUCUCAAUGUAUAACAUUAAUGAGGACCGUCAACAAACUCCCCCAAGCUUACCUCUUGCUCGUCCCUGAGCAAGGAUAGACUCAGCAAUGGAUCAGAAGUUGUUGCAAUAUCUUAAAAAUUUGACGGUACACAUGCUUUUAAAUAAGACCUCAUCUCUGAGUUAGAGUAAACUGUCAAGAACUAAAACUUACUUACUUUACCUUUCACCAUGGGACUUGUAAACGUCACUUCUGUCUUGAGUAGUUAAAAGAUAAAAGAGUCUAGCCAAGUGCCAUGUCUCUUAUUCUUGAUCAGCUAUAGCUCUGGAGUUUUUGCAGAUUUUCAAAUAAAACUCAGAGAUUCCUUGUAUGACUCUCUAAAUCUCUCUUUUGUGGUAUUUCUGGAUCCUUACCAAGGCAGUGAUGGUAUAUGCCUUCUCUCAAGAUAUGUGGUAUUUGUGGUAUAAGGCAUAGUGACAUUGCCUUCUCUCUCACCCUAUUUUAAUAAGGCUUUAAUAUCUGGAGCUCAUAGGUGGGAGACAGCUAAUACAUACUUAGAAGACAUUUAUUGCAUAGUCAAACCAUGGAUCUAGAGAAACAAGUCAAUAAGUCAAAUCAAGAUGUGCAUGUGUGGCGAAUGAAUGGUGUAUGGUGAUGAUGGUGAUAACAAUGGUGGAAGUCUAAUUCUACUUUUGCUCUUUUGAGGGGAUACAUACCUUCCUUGCUUUUUGAAACUUUAUGAGGAGAAUGAGAUGCUCUAUCUUUCAUUUUAUUCUUUCCUCUCAGGUGGGUAUCCUGUACCCCUAAUUCUACUGUCGGACACUUGUCCAUUUUUACCUCUCGUCUCACUCUUUUUCUUUUCUUUCGAGGUUCCGGGCACUUGCCCCUUUUUAUUUCCUCAUAUAUUUUUUUUUCUUUUUUUUAGAGCACUCAUCUCAUGAGACAAUAUAGCAAGUGGUAGUAGCAAGAUAACUUGAGCAUAUAUUUCACAAGGGAAAACAGAAAUAUUUUUGGUUAUUCUCUCCCGGAUUAGGAGUAGAAUAUUUUUGGGUGGUUCUGGAGAUGGAAAUGAGUGGAUAUAUGUGGAUGGUACUUCCGGAGUAGAAGUAGCAUAUAUGAGUGAAUGUGCAAGUGAAACCUUGAUUUAAUCACAUGACAAGCUCCUAAGGGUCUACACAGCUUGACCACACUCAAUGCUCAUAAGCAGUAAAUAGUAAAUGUGUGGCUCAAAGUCUAGCAAGCAUGUAUAUAUGGCUGUGGUAGGAAUUUAAACUUUCAUCAUAUAGGAACUCAUCAUGCAAUAUUUUAAAGAUUUUUCAAAGAUAAAAUCCUCCAGAAUUCUAGCAUCUCUAGGAACAGAUAAACAGCAGCUCAACCUUCCCAUAUCAUAUCUGUUAACAACUUAGAUUUCAGGUCAAGUUUUCAUUCCACAAGUUUAGAUCUAGAGCAAGCUUUAAAUUAUAACAGUUAUGUCUAAACUUGAGAGAGAACUUCAAAUUUGCAAAUUAGGCAGAGCAACUAUUCAUCAUAUCCAUGCUAGAGUUUUAUUAUUAAGAUUCAGAUUAGCAUAGCCACUUUAUUCAUUUAUUAAACACACUAAGCAAAAGAUAUAUAUAUAAGCACAAAAUCUUUAUUUGGUUCAUAGUUUAUGUAUUUUAAUAUUCUAAUAUAAUAUAAGUAUAA